CUUAUAGUAGUUCGAGUACCUUUGGCUUAUAACGCCAUACUCGGACGAUCUGGACUUAACGCUCUGAAAGUAGUGGUUUCAACAUACCAUUUAUUAGUUUGAUUUUCGAUGAGAAAUGAAGUCGAAGAGAUGCGUGGAGAUCAGCAACUUAUCCGAUGCUGCUUCAUUGUCUCCACCCAAAAUAAUAAGCCUGAAGACUCUCUGUCUGUCGACAAUUAGACUAAAAAGAGAAUCAGAAAAGGGGUGAACCAACUGAACACUGGUUUCUAUCCCGCUAAAAGAAGAAGAUCUCGAGAAAACGGUCCAAAUUGGAUCGCAACUACCCGACUCAGAGCGGCAACAAUUAAUAAAAUUACUCAGAGCCAACGUCGAUAUUUUUACUUGAUUGACCACCGACAUAUCCGAGAUUCUUUCAGAAGUAAUAACUCACCGACUUAACAUCAACCCGAACGUUAAGCCAGUGAGACAAAAGAAGCAAUCUUUUGCCCCUGAAAGACAAAAGAUCAUUAAUGAAAAAGUCGACAAGCUCCUCGCAACAGGCUUCAUCAGAGAAGCUACAUAUCCCGAUUGGUCCGCCAAUAUGGUAAUGGUGAGAAAAGCCAAUAAAAAAUGAAGAAUCUGCAUCGACUAUAUGGAUUUGAAUGAGGCUUGUCCGAAGGACAGCUUUUCAUUGUCGAAAAUUGAUCAACUGGUUGAUGCGACUUCAGAUCAUCGACUUCUGAGUUUCAUGGAUGCCUUCGUUCGAUAUAAUCAAAUCUGGAUGUACCAGAAAAUGAGGAGCACAUUGCUUUUGUAACUGUAAAGGCAUAUACUGCUACAAAGUAAUAUCUUUCGAUUUGAAAAAUACCAAAUCUACUUAUCAACGGCUCGUCAAUAAGAUCUUUAAAGUCCAGAUUGGAUGAAAUAUGGAGAUGUACGUGGACAACAUGCUGGUGAAUAGUCCUUAAACUUUAGAUCAUGUUCGAAAUCUGGAAGAAGUCUUUGACAUGCUUCGACGACAUUAGAUGAAGUUAAACCCAACCAAGUAUGCAUUUGGGAUAACCUCCAAAAAAUUCUUUGGAUUUCUUGUUUUACAAUGAAGAAUCGAGGUUAAUCUCAAAAAAAUAAAAACCAUCAUCAAUAUGAAGUACCCGAGCUCAAAGAAAGAGAUACAGCAACUCAACGGAAUGAUCGCUACACUCAGUCGAUUUAUUUUUAGAUCGAUCGAGAGAUGCUUGCUAUUCUUCAAAACUUUAUGACAGACAAAAGACUUUUUAUGAUCGGAUGAAUGUCGACAGUCCUUCAAAAAUUUGAAAAAAUACUUAGCUUCUCUACCUUUGCUAACAAAAUUGAAGAUCGGAGAGAUAUUGUAUCUCUAUUUAACGACUUCAAUAGAAGCGGUUAGUUCGGUGCUCGUCCCGGAGGAUGAAAAUCGAAUCCAUCGACCGAUCUACUACACCAGUAAAGUACUUCACAAUAUCAAAGUCCGAUACUCAAGAGCGAAAAAAAUGAUCUACGCUCUAAUCAUAUCGGCCCAACGACUUCGUCCGUACUUUCAAGCACAUCCAAUUAUGAUCUUGACAGAUCAGUCAUUGAAGAUGAUCUUACAUCGACCUGAUACGUCAGGUCAGAUGGCGAAGUAGGCAGUGAAGCUUGACGAGUUCGACAUACAAUAUCGCUCACGAUCGUCCAUGAAGGUGCAAGUUCUGAUCGACUUCGUCAUAGAAUGUACAAUAUCCGAUAAUAAAUCAGAAGAUACAAAUGAUAAUACAAUAAAGCAGGUUACGACUCUCGAAUCCGACCUAAGGUUGACUUAGAUAUCGAUGGAGCAUCUAAUACACAAGGUAGUGGAGCCGGCCUUAUACUCAUAAAUUUCAAAGGGGUAGUCACUAAAUAUGCCCUUCGAUUCAAUUUUAAAGCCUCAAAUAAUCAAACCGAAUAUGAAGUACUCUUAACCGGCUUGAAGAUAGUCAAAGAGCUUGAGAUCGACAGUUUGAAGGUCUUCACCAACUCACAACUGAUUGCUAGACAAGUCAAGGAUGAAUUUGAAGUCUGAAACUCCACUAUGAUGAAGUACCUUCAAAAGGUGAAAGAUACUGCAGCGAGCUUGAAAUAUUUUGAGAUCUUUCAUAUUUUUAGAAUCGAAAAUACUCGGACCGACAUACUUUCACGAUUGGCUACUACCUCUUUCAACUUGUUGGGUCGGACAUUCGUUAAAUGCCUCAAACAGUCGAGUAUCGACAAAGUCGAAAAAGUAUUAUAGCUCAUUAUCGAACCAAGCUAAAUGGAUCCAAUCAUCCAAUACUUGACUGAUAGAAUUCUUUCAAUAGAUCCUUUAGAAGCCAAAUGACUCCGAUGGACGGCCUCUGAAUAUGUAAUAAUGAAUGGUCAUCUCUACAAAAGGUCAUUCUUACUUUCCUUGCUAAAGUGUUUGGGACCUACAGAUGCCGACUAUGCACUUAGAGAAGUACAGGAAGAAAAUUCUGAAAAUCACUUGGGAGGCAAAUCUCUAGUUUAUAAAGUCCUGUGAUAAAAAUACUAUUGGCCCACCAUGAAGAAAGAUGCAGCUGAACUUGUCCAGAGGUUUGAACCAUAUUAAAAGUAUGCAAAUAUACAAUAUCAACCGGCUAGUCAGUUGACAUCGAUUGUAACACCGUGGUCCUUCGCAUAAUUAGAAAUCGACAUACUUGAUCCUUUUCCCCCUACAUCUGGUCAGAAAAAAUUCAUAGUGAUUGCUAUUGACUACUUCACCAAAUGGAUAGAAGUCGAACCUCUGGCCCAAAUCAUCGAAAAUAAAAUGAAAGACUUCAUUCAGAAAUUCAUCAUUUACAGAUUCGAUUUACCGCACACCAUCAUCACCGACAAUGAUCGAUAAUUUGACAAUCAAAAUUUUAAAAAGUUCUGUAUAAAAUUUUAUAUCAUACACAAACUCACGUCAGUCGGCCAUCCACAAUCAAAUAGAGAGAUGGAGGUAACCAACCGAAUAAUCUUGUACGGGCUCAAGAUUCGACUGAAUGAAGCUAAAGACCUCUGGAUAAAAAAAUUAUAUCCGAUCUUACGGACGUACCGAACAACUCCUCGCAUACCGACCGAAGAAUCUCUCUUUAAUUUAACUUAUGGAACAAAAACAAUGAUCCCGCUCGAGAUCGGACUGCCAUCAACAAAGAUGGAACAAUACAGUGAGCCAAGCAAUUCUGAAUGUCGAAGAGCUGACUUAGAUCUCCUUCCAGAACUCUGACAGCAAGCUCAAGUUCGGAUGGCUGCAUAUCGACAAAGAAUAGUCUGGUAUUAUAAUGCAAGAGUCAAGCCGAAGGUCUUCCAACCAAGAGAUUUGGUCUUAAAAAAAAUAGAAAUCUCAAAAUCUUUAGAUCAAGAAAAACUGUCUCUGAAUUGGGAAGGACCUUACAGAAUAUCCGAAACUCUUAGAUCGGAUGCAUAUCGGCUAGAAACCCUCGAAGGGUCGGUAAUUUUUCAAACAUGGAAUGCUGACAAUCUGAAGAUGUAUCACCCAUAAAGUUGUUGAUAUAUAUAUUAUUUGAAAUACAAUACAGAAAUUUCAGAAUCACAAACUUUGAUCAAGUUCUAUCAACGAUCGACUAUAUGUCGGCUUUUAUUGUAAAAGCUGAACUAUCGACUGUACUUCUACAUAGAGUUUAUUUCAUCUUUCACUGUAAAAGCUAGAGAAUCAACUGCUUCGGUGUCAACAAUAUUUUGGUUCUCUUGCAAAAACCAACAUAUCGACCGCAAUCUCAAACCGACAUCAAAUAUACAGGCUUUCACUGCAAAAAUCAUAGUGCCGAUUAUAUCUCGAUUUUCAAUAUCAGCUUUCUACUAUAAAAGCUAACUACAGUCGAAAGACUAAUAUACCGACUUAGUCCUAACUAAGCGAAAUGAAAUGUCAAAACGAUCAAGAUCGGAUUGAAAUUAUAUCGAUAUGGCUACAACCAAUCGAAGGAUAUUCGACUUACCAUCGAUUAUCAAAAGAUCUGACGUACAAACCCAAUCAAGCAUCGGGUACAGGAUAUUCGACUUACCAUCAUUAUCCUAACUUCUAUCAAGUACGUCAAAGACUACGCGACUAACAGAUAUUCUACAAGUUCUACCGAAUGAUUGGAUCAUCGAUUGAUGUACGGUGGCUACUUUACAUUGCAGACAUUGCAGGCUCAAUAUUUCAGACAAAUAGUUCAAACUUAGAAGAACAUGCUUUCAUUCAUUGUCAAAAAGAAGUUACAAAAUUGGAUCAAAAUCCGAUUACAGAUAUUUGGUUACACAAAAAAGAAAGCAAAAUACACUGACUAAGCUUCGUCGCCAUUCUUAUUCCUUUGCUCUAAUGUAGUAUCGACAAUUUGAACAACUUCAGGCACGGUCGGUGCUUCAUCUUAAGUCGGUGCUGCUUCUUCUUUAGCAACUCCAUCUUCCGAUCUUGAAGGGACGAUGCUACUCAAAUCAAGAUUUGGAUAUAAUUUUUCGAUCGCAUCUUGACUUUCUUCAUACCCGAUGCAGUACAAGGCAAAGCCACCUUCGAGGAUUUCUUCUUUGAAUUCUUUCGAACUCCAAAAAUCCUCGAUUGCCCGACUCAAUGCCUCCCUUGCCGACUCCGCUUCCGUCUUUGUCAAAUCAGCAUCGGCUCGAGUAGAGGAUGACUCUUCUUCAACCAGUGCCAACUUUUUCAGGCUGGCCUGAUGACGUCCAUGUUCGGCUUCAAGUUUUUUGAUACAUCCGUCGAAGCCAGUGGAUAAAGUGCUUUUUGCUCUUGACCUGUGACUCAAGAGCGAAAUAGCCUCACGAGCCGACUUGAGCUCGACCUCCGAGGAUGUUAAGUCAUCAGUUAAUCGAAAAACCUCCUCCUGAAGCUUGGCUUCCCGCUCCGCUGCCGACUUAAGUUGUUCGAGUGCAACCGCUUUCUCGGCAUUCGCAGCUGCCACCCUAUUCAUCCACGACUGAUGAAAGUCACUGAACUUUGCGUAAUCGAUUUCUAAAUCGAACAUAUCGUGAAUCAACUACAAACAAAAGAUAAGUCAGAUAAAAAAAAAGAAAAAAAAUUACCCUAAGUAUCAUCGGGUAAAAGGACGAGAACAUCUCGGCCAUUUUUCGACUCUUCUGAUUCUUUCAAUCAACGAGAAGAAGAGUGGCUUGGCACAGUCACUUGGCUAAUGUCGGAUUGGCUAGGGCCGAUUCAUCACCAGGCACUUGAAGGUCGAAGUGAACCGUGUGGCCCUCCAACACUGGAUCUUCCGUCAAAGUCACUGGAGCUUUCUCCGAUCCCUUGUCGGCAGCCCGAUGUUCAAAAGUGAGGGGAAGCUUGAACUCGACUGCGCCCCAGCUGAAGGAGCAAUUGGCGCAGCCACAGAUUGUUCGGAUUCUCCUGCCUCGAUCCGAACCUCCUCAAUUGAUGGAACUACCGACGGUACUUUGAUAGUUUUCCUUGCCGUCCUUUCUUCGAAUGAUGCAACAGGGAGCACUGUCGGGGCCGACAGUGCCAGGAUCGGCUUAGGAAUCGAUGCGGAUGGAGCAUCAGGUUCCUCAGUCGGCGUUGAAGCGAUGACUGGAGUUGGUGUCGUUUGAACUUGCAUCGAAGUUUGAUGCCUCUUCGACGGUCGAGAAGGUCUAGCCUCGGAUGUUGUCCUCUUUUUGACAGUGUGCUGAUGAAUGUCGGCGCUCGAUACUCGCACCUUUGGCUGCAUGGCUGCAAUUAUAAUAGAAGACAGUACAACUCAACAAGUAAAAGAAAAGUAAAGUUUGAAAUAACCGACCGACUAUACUAUACCUAGACAGGCGAUCGAACUAAGGCCGACGUCAUAAAGGACUUGUUCGGUCACAAGCUCCUUUUGCAUUGGGAUCGCUAUAUCUUUCAGCUGAUGGAAGUCCUCCCGAUCGCCGACCUCUACUCAGCUGUUGUCGUUGGGACCGGUUCGUGGAUCGCCCCAACGGAAAGAAAAACUCCAAGGAAGGAUAGAGGAAGCGAAAAAGAAUUGAUUCUUCCAUCCACGAAUUGAUGAUGGAAGAUCGGUAAUAAAAGAAAGACCUUUUCGGAGGUUGAAGAAUAACCAUCCUCGGGCCUUCGGAUGAGGUCGGAGGAUGAAAAAAACUCAAAAAAGAGAAGGACGAGGUUUAGUCUGUAGCAACCGACACAACAAGGCAAAACUAAUUAUCAAUCGGAUCGAGCUUGGUGCCAGCUGAGCCGGGCAAAGUCCGUAGUAAUCCAAAAUAUUUCGGAUAAAUUUUAAAAUUAAAAAUUAAAAAUCUGUCCGAAGAUCUUCGACAUAAAAGGCCACCUGAUCUGAAGGAGUAUUCAUCCGACUAUUGGCCCUGGGGCGAAAAGCUAAAACUGCUCCGAGAUACCAUACUGUUUCCGGAGCCGUUCGACAUUCGACUCUGAAAGUGAAAAAACCUCCUCCUUCAAAUUCGAUUGGGAUUCGUCAGUUGGAUUCUCCGACCGAUCAUCCCGGGAAGGGAAAGUCCUAGCCAUAAGAGACAAGACUUUAAAGAAGAUAGAGAUUCUAAAGGAAAAGGGACUCAAGGAAAGACAGGAACUUGAUCUGAAAAAGAUGAGAAUAACAACCUCAGAUGCUGGGGUGAUCGUCCGACAGAGUUUCAGCACCAAGAAAGACAAAAUGAAAAGUAGAAGUUUGAUUGACAGCGACCCUAUAUAUAUAGGAUCCCUCAACGACCGAGAUGAAGGCGAUCGAAUCAAAGAUUUAUUAGAUGAUGACACAUGACAAUAUCUGGAUCGACUAUUGAUCAGACGGUUCGAUGCACUUGUCCCAGAUCAAGCCACGUCAUCCUAAUUCAUAUGAACAGAUCCGAUCCAAUAACAUUCAGACAUGUGGCACAAAUCUACUUAUCAGAAUCAUAUCGUCCGACAUCGAAUCGACUUUCCGAAAUGAUGUCUGAUACUGACAACUGAUAUCGAAUCGAUCGAUCAGUGUGAUAGUUUAAAAAUGAUCGUACCCUUCAAAAUGACAAAGCAGUCGAUCGUCCAUAUCUCAGAGAAAAUGGCAUCAAAAUUGAAGUUCGAUGUGAUAGAAAUAACUCCCUUCAUCCAAUGUGAUGAACCACGUGACAAUAUACACGUCGGUUCACUUUGGACUUGAGAGUGGGGGGCAACUAUUGGGGUAAACCGAUCGACCCCCGACUUUGAUCAUCACUACUCUGACUGCGCAUCGGUUAAUCAUGCGGUUCCGACUCUUCAUCGAUCGACUGAGCGAACCGCACCGACUUACUGUCGGCUGACCAACUAAUGAUUCGAUUACUAUCAAUCGACAGCAAACGACUUAGACAGUCGGCAUAACAGAACUACUAAUCGACGGUCGCUCAUAGAUUCUACCGACAUAUAGUCGGUUCUACCGAUAUAUGGCCAGUAAUCUGCUCAACAUACCAUAACCGUCACAAACAGUUAUCAACUACGUGUCACGGUUGUUAAAGAGAAUUAACACCCCACUAAUUCCAUAUUUAUGGUCCGAUAAUUUAGUGCCAUAAAAAGUAGGACCACGUGCUCUACGAUUACACCAGAAUCAUCUAUAAAAAGGAGAUAAGUGAACAGUACCGGUAAGCCAUCUCUAGGUCAGAACUCUACUACUUUCUACAUUCAAAAACUACUGUUCACCAACUUUCUUCUCUGACUUAAACAUCGAAAGGUCCCCGUCGGACACCAAUUCAGUCUGUGUGAACGCUGUCUUGCAGGUGCUCGUUAUCGAUGACAAGUGAUGAAGAGUUGGCUGCAACCAGCAAUUUUUGUCCAUUUAUUUGUAAGACUUUCUUCCUCUUUUCCGAGUCUUUCUCUUCUUCUAAAAUGUGGAAUCUCUUUCUCUCCAUGGUUAUAGGCUGUUUCUACUAAUAUAUUGCCUAUGAUCAGGUGAUACACAUUUAGUAAAUUAAUCAUCUAACAAUCUAUAUACACAUCCAAAUAUAUUGAUACAAAAUUUUUAAAAUAUUAUAUUUAUCACAGUACACAUCCAGAUAAUACACACUUAAUAGGUUUGUGCUACAUAUUUUAAAUUUCUGUAACAUAUAUCCAAUGGCAAUCUAACAUACAUCUCUAAGUAAAUCAAUACACAACUAGAUAAAUUAAUAUGAUUUUCAAAAUAUCAUAUUCAUUAGUAUAUGUGCAUAUCAUGACAGACAUUCGAUGGAUUUCUAAUACAUCUAUUUUAAGUUUAUUUGAUAUAAACCUAGUAGCAAUCUAAUACAUACCUACAGAUAAAUUAAUAUAUUGUUUAAAAAAAAUAUUUUUAUCAAUAUAUAGCAUAUAUCCAAGUAAUACAUACCCGAUGAGUUUUUUGAUAUAUACUUGUUUGAUAUAUAUCGAAUAGUGAUCUAAUACAUAUUUUCAAAAAAAUUAAUAUAUAAUUUUAAAAUAUAAUAUUCAUCCGUAUCUAAUCUAUGGCUAUAUGAUAUAUACUUGGGAUGGAUAUCUUCACAAGGGAAAGAUUUAAAUAAGAAAGAUCUCGUAGAUUGAUGGAAAGGAAAGGAUGGCUCGACGAGGAAGAAGAGAGCAAUAUAAUAUAUAUAUAUAUAUAUAUUUUUAAGUCAUGGGAUUGGUGGAAUUCAUUAGAAAAAUCUUAUUCAUUUUGACCCUUCGGUUUCCAUGUUAAAAUAGAUGCAAUAGGGUAUCUGGUAAAAAAAAUCUUUGCAUAUGAUAUUUCCUCAUGCAUGCACUAGAAAAUUUUUGUUUCAAGAUAGCUGCAUGCGACGUUUGACUAUAUUUUUGUUAUCAACCAGAUUCAGGCGCGUUUAAAGACAAUAACAAACAUUGUGUCACAAUCAUCAUUUAUUGUUAUCCUUGUUUAUGUAUUUUCGGCAACAUAUAUCCCUUUAGCAGAUCCGAGUAAAUAAAGAUGUAACUUUUAGUUGGAUUAGAUCCACCAUUGAGCUGGUGGAUCAAUCCAAUCACGAAGAAACACACACGACUGCAUAUGUACCACACCCUUUUUCUUUUUCUCCGAUGUCCAUUGAUCCGACCCAUAACCACGCAAGUGCAGUGGUUAAAUACGUGACUGUGAUUUGCGGAGGGAUUCAAAGAAGCAAUUUGAUCCUCGUUUUACAGCAUUUUUUUUUUCCUUUAAAAUAAAGAAACAGACCUCGCCGCCUUACGUGCGUAAUGCGGCUACUUUCCGUUUGUAUACGGCGUUAUCCACGUUCCAGCAAUAGGAGCGUAAUGGUUUCGCAAAUUCCUGUCGCGCCUUUGCCUUGCACCGGUGGAUACAGCUGGCAGCGGACCCGCAAUGCCCUGCGCUUUUGCGGCCGCUUUCCCUGUACGAACGAGGGCAAACCCCAGUGGAGAAGCAAAAUCCUACCUCACCUCCACCAUAUCUAUCUCUCCCAGCCUCCUCCUCCGUUCUCUGGAUAUUUCCUUUUCUUUUCCACGCUCUUCCCUUCCGCGAUCUCGCCCCGCUUCGCCCUUGUCUCUUUCUAUCCAGGAAGAAGAUUUCAUUCCUCGUGCUAUCGUUGGUUGCUUCCUCUCGGGAAGAUCAUCUUUCCUCUCGGGUUUCGAUGCUAGUGUUGUUCUCUUGCUGAAAGAUCGGACUUUUCGUCAGUUUUCGCUACGGUUCGAUCCUUGAGGUCUCGCUGAGAUUUUGAUAGGAAGAUCGGAUAUAUAUAUUUUCCUUUUCCUCUGCUUAAGAUUCUUGUCCCAACGGUUUGGGAUUUUUGCUCUCGGUUGGGAAGAAGAGUUCUUGUUCUGGGUUCUUGGAGCGGUUUGGAUCUCUUCCCUUCGUCAAACCAUCUUUCACCAUGGAUUUCGAUGCUACUAUCUUUUCCUGGCUGAAAGGUUGCAUUUUCCGCUCAAUUUCGUUCCUUGAGGUCUCGCUGUGAUUUCGAAGGAAAAGAUAAUAGUUUGAUCUGGGUUUUGUCGCAAGUAUCGUGUGGUUCACAAUUAGCUGCAAUUCCGGCGGGUAACAAGUUUUCCUGUGCCUCUGUUUUAAAGUUCUUGCCGAAGUUUUGAGAUUUUUAUGUUCAUUUGGAGAGCGAUCCUUUUUCUGGGGUCUUUACUACGAGAGCUCUGGUUCUUGCCGUCCCCCAGCGGGUUCUGUGAAAAAAUUGGAUUUUUAUCUGGAUUACGUAAUAAGAAUUUUUCGAUCAAUAUAAGCUUCUGUUCUGGUUAGGAAAAUGGUUUGCUUGCGCCUCUUAAUUCCUUCGGUGAGAUUCUUGCCCCCAGGAUAGGAAGUUUUGGAUUGUUCACUCUUGUCUGGACUCUGUGGAGAAGAAUUCCCGUGGUCUUUACUUAAAGAGAUCAACUUCUAUAGUCUUUCUUUGAAUUGAACUAAAGAAUUGCUUUCUUGGAAUCUGGGAUUGGCUGUCGGACAUUGGAAAUUUGGGGAUCUUGCUUCGAGCUUCCUUAAUUGAUUGAUAGGGAAUUGUGUUAAGUUUGCCAGAGUUGGGAUGAUGAAAGUGGGGAAGGAAGAGGAAAAGAUCAUGAAUCCCAUGUUUCCAAGGCUUCAUGUGAAUGAUACAGAUAAAGGGGGUCCAAGAGCACCUCCUAGGAACAAGAUGGCCCUGUAUGAACAGCUAAGCAUCCCUUCACAUAGAUUCAAUUCUACAGCUGCUUCUGUAUUGCCUCUUCCACCACAUAAUGCCAGCAUCCUGGUUUCCACUGCAUCAAGCCAGGUCAAUUUUCUAAUGAACUCUUCUUUCAUCCAGUUUGUGGUAUGACCUUAGUUUGACAUGCUUUCUUGCUUGUUAUGAUGGUAUGCUUUCACUCAUAUUUAUUUUGACCACAUUUAAUCUUAGACGUCUUGUUUCAGCCUGCAAUUCAUGGAACAAUGUUGCAUAUGCUAGUUGGCUUUUACCAUCAAUUAACAAAUGCCACCAAAUGUUCUCCCAUUUUUUACUUUUAGAUUCCAAACACAACCAACAGAGGUUGGGGCCUUGAUAUACAACCACAUAUUUUGUUUUUGAGCUUGAUAAACACCAGUAGUUCUUUAUAUAUAUAUAUAUAUACACAACCAGAUGUUUUGUUUCUAUAGAAGUACAAAUACAUGUCAUUAGACAAAUGUAUGGAGUUCUAUAUAAGCUUGUGGAAAUAAUUUAAUAUAAUCAAUAAGAUUGCGAUAGCUCUUGGAUUCAAAUGUGGUUUUCCAUGUAGAUGCCUAGAUUAAAAAGGAAAAAAAAGAGGAGAUUUCCAUAUAUAUUUUUUUUUUUUUUAAGUUCUGGGUUGUCCAAUAUUUCUUUGGAAGAAGUGAGGGGCUAGGACAAGAAGACUUAUCUCUUCCCUGCCAUUUUCCCCCACAAGUUAAAAAAGUGAUCAAUAAAAUGUGCAUGAAUGUAUUAAUAGGAACGUUUUCAAAAUGUCGAGGUUUGUUAAGUUGUGGUGCAACCACUUUUUUAUUUUCUAUGACAAUGAAUUAUUGAAUGGUGUAAAGUCUUUCUUUCUUUUUUGCUUCUUUUUCUUUCUUUAGACCAAAUGACAGGUGCCAUGGCAAUGGUAAAAUGUCACAAAUUUGUUACCAGAGAUUAGGUGGAAGAUAAAAGAUCAAGGACAAGGACUGGCUUGGCAGGUUACAAGGCAAGCUUGCUCCCAACUAUAUGUACUAUAGUGCUGCUGAUGGGGUGAUAUGUAGUAAUAGGCACAACUGAAAGUUAAAUGUGGAUGGCAUGCUAGGGAAGAAAGGAAUAUGGGGGAUUGACUUCAAGAAUUUCUUAUAUGUAUCUUUCAUUUUAUAUUAAUGUGUUAUUAAUCUAUUAUUUCUAUGUUAUAGGAUGGCUGCUACAUGACUAAGUUUUCCAAAGUUUUGUAGCAGUCAUGCCAUUUAAAUUAGAAGCACAGUGGUGAUAGUUAUACAUUAAAGGGACAAAACUUGCAAAGUAUUUUAGAGCAGAAAAUAGUUAGCAAGAAGGGCAGGGUACUGCCAUUUUUUAGGCAUUCUGUUUCAUUGUUUGGUAAAGUCCUCUUUUAGCAUCCUAAACGCAAGCCAUAUGGCUAAGAGGCUAGGCGACUUCAUUUUUCUGUCCCUUUUUUUUUUCUUUCUGUAAUAGAUGAUUAUUUCUAAUUCCUCCAAGCCUUCCUUUUAUUUGUGCAGGGGGAUAGGGGAUGGAGGAGAAAACUGGUUAUGAAUGUUUUCACCACAAAGACAGAAAUUAGCUUAUUUUUGUUCAGUAAAAGAGGGAGAACUGCUCUAAAGUACAAAUUAUUGGUUGAAGUAUAUAAUUUUCAUCUUUAACUUAGUCUCUGGUUCAAGAAUUAGCUUUUUGAGGAGUUGCCUUUUCUUGAAUGUUGAUCCCUUUCUUUUCCAAUAUCAUGUAUUUAAUUUUAGAUUGGACUCUACAUUUGGAAACUAGAACAUAUGAUCUUUUUCUGAAAGCAGGCCAUAAAGUCAUUUUUCUUUAUGAUGAUUUGAUCCUCUGAUUGAAUUGUGCUAAAAUGUUAGGAGGUUAUAUAUCCUUUAGGUAUGUUCAUUUUUAAGGAUCCACAACUUUGUUUGGUUUGCAGAGGCUAUUGUCAGUACUUCCAUGCUUUUAAGAGAUUUCAAUGGGACUGAGAUGAAUAGCAAGAGCUCGUAGUAGAGGUAUUGAAAGGAUGUUCAGUUGAGAAAGAGUUAGCUUUACUUGAUUAAUAAACUACUUAGAAUCAAAAUAAGUCCUAGUUUUUAGGUGAGUUAGCAUGGGCUGGUUGCUGGAGGGUGCGCAUACCUUUCAAAAGAUCCUUAGGUCCCAUAGAAUAUGGAAUAAGAGAGUACCUUUUGUUAUUUGCAACAAAAAGUGGAAACAUGAAUAGCAUUAGCAAGGACAAAAGCAGUAAAGAUGGAGCCAAAAGGCGCAAUCUAUGUGAUGAAUAUUCCUUUAUGGCCUUGUGAAUGAGGGACAAAAACAAAAACGUAUUGGACCUCAAGGAACCUCACAAGUUUCAAAUUUCCUUUUGACAGCCACAUUAGUUACAAUAUUAACCAAAUGCAAGAUUCCUAAAUGGGGUUUUAGUGGAGCAAGGAAAUGAUUUUUUUGACAUUAAUAUGGAGACAACAUCACAACUUCCUUUAUAACCCAUUGAAGGUUUCUUACCGUCAGGUAAGCGAAAAUGAACUCUUCAAGUAAGGAAUGGGAAAUAAUUGUUUGUAUUCAGUGAUUGAUGAUGAUAAUAAUUUUGUAGUCUUUUUAGAGGGUUAAAAAAUCCAACUAGUCAUAGCAACAUUGUUACAUGAAUUGUCUGCUGAAGCCAAGAAGAUAAAUAUUAAAUGAAAGUAUGAUAUCAUAACAAGCAAUUGAAUGUAAUAAGAAGGGCAUUUUUCAUCACAAAAAGACCUAGAUUAAAAAUAAUAGAAGGUAUUGUAUUGACUUCUAAGUACUUCACUGAAAGGUGCAAGAUGGGAAAAAGAAGCUUAAAAUAGUCAAAGCGGAGUCAGUUAUGUAGCCAUGGUCUUGCUUUCUCUCUCGAGAUAAAUAAGUUACGAAAGAGUUGAGAUAUGGUGAUACCCUCAUUCUUCUCUUCGGACUGCUUGAGCUUGUUUUUCAUCUUGGAACCUACAUAACUGCCGGUUCUUUUGUUUUUCUUUCUUCAUUCAUGCGUGAAAGAAGUCCUGAUCUUGUUCUCCACAUGAAUGACUUUCUAUAUUUCACCUCUUCUUUGAAUCCAGAAAUGAUUAACUUUCAAGUGUGGAGUCCAUAUAAAUAUGCUGUCACCUCUCCUUUUUCCUUUUGUCUUUUUAAGACUCAAGGAAGAAUCCUUCUAUAAAGGAAGAGGGGAGAUGGCUGGCCACUUUAUGAUCUUCAUGUAAUUCUUAGAUGGCCCUAUACAGUAUGAUUUUCCUUUCUACAUUCUUCCAAUGUUUGCUGACACGAGAGAAAUUGUAGUUGCUCGAUUUUCAUUUUUGUUUUUACUUAAGAGUACAUGUAAUUGUCUUAAAGUAAGAAGGAUUUUACAUGUUCAUGAGAACAUAAUUACUGGAGCUCUUGAAUAGCAUCUUUUGUUUUCUAACUUGUUAAAAGUUAGUUUCUAAUUAAGGAAGUACACUUAUAGAGUCUUGAGGAGUCCUAAACUUAGGAUUGGCUUUAAAAAUCUUUAUGCUGUUGUAGUAUUGACUAGGAGGUCUUAGGCAUAUCUCUCAGUUUUCUGAUCCUUGUAUAUGGAGCUUUAUAAAAUACUUAGUUCUUGUCAUAUUUUGUAAGUUCGAAAUAAUUGAGAAGUUCUCAUCCUCGAUCUUCACUCUCCCUAUUCUAUUUUCUCUAUUUCUUUUGCUCUUAUUUUUCUUUCAUUCUUGUUUUCUUCUGUAAAAUGAAAAUGUGAAUUUAAUUUUUCUUCUCUUUAAAACAGAACCUUUCAUUUUCAAUUGCUUUCUUGAUCCAAUUUGAUAUGAAAUCAAAGAUACUCAAAAGGAAUUGGUGUGCCAACAAGGUGCUUUUUCUUCAUCACGUUCCUAUAUGCAUUUACCUUUUUCUUUAUCUGGUGUCCUCAAUUGAAUACAUAUUAUCUGCAAUAAAAGUUGGCCUACAAUGUCAUCUUUGUGUGAUUCCAUUCAAACUUUAUGCUGUUUUUUCCUUUAAUUAGUAGAUAUAGGGCUUUAGUAUGGUUAUAUAGACUCAUUUCCUUUUCACCUUUACUUAAACCAUACUUCAAGUCCUUUGCCUUCUUACUUUUUAAAAGAUAAUCUUGAUGGUCUUAGGUAGUUGUAUACAGUUCUCAUUGCUAACAUCUCAUUGUUGUCUACCCUUUGCUUCUUUCUUGGCUUCAUCAUUUUAAUAUUUUGCAUCACUUAAAAUCGUCUUUCUGUAAAAUUCAAAAGCAAUCAUUGGUGGAUCUUUCCAUCCAGCUAAGAAGCCCAUGCUACAUAGUUUAUUGGGCUGAUGAUUCAGUGCACAUAAGAGUUAAAUGAGUAACUAUGGUUAUCUUUGCUCCAAAGAAUCCUCAGUUAUUACAUGAUGUCAGCCCCUGACUUGAUUUUCUGUGGCUAUAAAUUGAUGAUGCAUUGUUGUGGGAAAGGUAAACUUAAAUGCUCUUGCAUUAUAUCUUGCCUCCCAUUUGUUCCCUAUAUUUGUUAAUUUUCUUUUAUCUGGCAAGGCCAUUUUGGCUUCAAUACUUUAGCUGGAAGAGGGCAUGCUAUCAAAACAUUGAAAUAUCAGCUUACAAUGUUCAGGUGUGAGUUGAAGAGUGAUUGAAACAGUUAAGAUUUCACGAUUUCAUAUGACUCCCAACUUCCAAUUCUAUCAUCUCUUAACAGUCCUUGCUCUUUCAGUUAAAAUUAUUCUUUGACCAUUGCUCAUUAUGGGUACGCUCCUUGCCCGAGAACACUUUACAUGUGACUUUCCACUUAUUCCUGACACAACAAUCUGCUGCACUUUGCCAUCUUGCUUGUAUGGAAAGUUUCUUGUAUUUCAUAUUGUGCACCUUUUCGCUCGUCGAUGGUCUCUCUCUCUCUGAGUUUUAGUAACUAGUCUCCAUCCUAGCCUGAUGCACUAUCAUUUCUAAUACUAAAUUUUACCUUUUGUCUUCUCAUAAACCCCCACCCCUCCCACUCGCUCUGUGUUGGAUGAAGUUAAGCCAGUUUAUUGGGGACAUACCUGAUCACAGAAAGUUGUUCGUUUGCUUCAUCUAUUAUUCAUUCCAUUCAUCUGCUGUUCUGAUGCUGACAAAAUAUGUUGGCUAUAGGAAUGUGGUCACGAGAGGAGUGUCUCAUCUCCAUAUUAUACACCUUCUGAUGCACCUGUGCAUAACUUUAGGAAGGUUCAUUCACAUUCAUCAAAUGGAAAGAUCCCUCCUGCUACAAUUAGGAAAUUCAAGAGACCUGCUAGGCAUGGGAAUCAAAGAUCUUCACAUGCUGCAUCUUCAAUUGCUGACUGCAAUUUGCUCCAUCCUCAUGAUGUCUAUGAUAGGAAGAAUUCUAGUGAGGAAGACGAUGAUUUCAGGGUUCCUACGUUCAUUCAUUCUGAGUUUGCUAAAUGCUCAAGCAAGAAUAUGCUUGUGAAGGAGAUGCAAAAAUCAUCUGCCUCUGGUGUAAAGGAGCCAGCAGAAAGUUACUCUUGCACCGUCAGUUCAUCUGCCCAGUUGUCAAAUUUUUAUGACAAGCCCUUGGAGCAAAAAAGUGCUUGUGUUGCAAAUUCAAGAAAACAUGAAACUAACCAUAGUGAGAAAGAGCAUCGAGAAACUAGAGGAAUUAAAGAACAGACAGAAGAAUUUGCUUUCCACCCAGAAAAUGGAGAGAAGAUUUCAGAACCUUCAGUUUUUUCCAAGGCAUUUUUAGAUCAUGAAUGCAUAAGAAUCAGAAAUGCUAUUGAUAAAACAUGCUCAGGAAAUACUGAAAGAAGUCAAGAAUCUUCUGAUAAUGGUUGUCUGGGUGAACUCAGAUGCUUGGAAAGCAGAGAUGUUAUGGAAAAUGGGGAUGCUAGGCUGAGAAGUGGAUGCUGUUCUAAGUCAUCACCUAGAAAUAGUCACAGGGAUGCAAAUAUGGCUGAUAACUGCUACCUGAAACUAGGUGACAAGGCAGGUGUGUCACUGGAAUUGGGGGAUGGAGACAGAAAUGGUGAAAUGUCUGAUACGUCGAUGGACUCUAUCGCAGGCUUGAAUAUUUCUCUUGAUGAAGUUGUGGGAGUAAUCGGUCCAAAACAAUUCUGGACAGUGAGAACAGCUAUAAUCAAGUAAGUACCAUGCAGUUGCUUGCCAACUACAUUACAAUAUCAUCCAGCUUCUACUCUCCUUAUCUCAUGAUGAUGGUUUCUUCUUAUUGAGAGAUCUUUAAUAUAAUUUGUCUCUUUGCUGAAGUUGCUUAACAUUGUAGUUCUUCUUUUGUGGUCGCAUGUGGGCAGUGUGUGUUCUUUUAACACUUCACCUUUUGGCUAUUUUAAACAACUUAAUUUCUUUAUGCCCAACAACUUAUCAUCCACCUAAAUAAUUAUGUCACUUUACAUUAUGAGGCCAGAAUCUGUAUGUUAAUGUAUGCUUUUCACUGUUUGAGUUAUUCUGCUGCAUAAUUUAAUCAUGGUACUGGUUUACGUGACAAACUACUGAUGCUAUCGGUGCAAUGUUUUGAUGCAUUAUUGUAUUCAGGGAAAAGAUGGAGACAUGCUUAUCUCUAGCAUUAUUUGAGGGAUAUGUGUACAAGCAUAAAAAGAAGAUUAAGAAUAAAGAGAUUAAGGAUAAGAACCAUCCAUUCAUAUCCUUAUUGAAGCGGAAUAAGAAUAGAAACAAUCCGUUAAUGUCCUUAUUAAAGCUGAAUGUGCUCCUUUUUAAGUAUGGAUGUUAGUUGAUGAAGUCAAGAAAACAAAUUACAACAGCUGAAAUAUUUAAGUGUCCAGACAAGAUUAUGAGGAAACAAUUGUUUUUGGCUUUCAUGCAUAAAAUUGGCAUACAAUGACAUUGGAAUGCAAGGACUGAGAUAAGUGGAUGUCACACAAGCAAAAUUGGGGUAUACACUCCCUUAUGGAAUCCACCAUGAAAGGAAAGAGCAAGAAGCCAGCACCUCUUAAAAUAAAAUCGGUACUUACCAUAGGUUAAUUUCAUUUGCAUAGUUUUGUUACAUAAAUAGGACAUUCCCCCGUGAAAAAUUAAUGAUAGAUUUAUGAUGAAAUUACUAAGUAAUCAUUUGAAGUUUCCAAGGGACAAUUCCACAAGUACCUAUAUAUCCAACUAUUAGUGACAUCCUGAGUUUCUAACGGGCACUUUCACGAGUACCUGUAGAUCCAACCACCCACCAGAGUACAUUAAUGAUAAGCAAAAUGAGAGUGGGCUUCUCUUAUGGGCUUCUUCUUGGGCCUUAUCCAUGGGCACUCGGGUGUCAUUCUUCUUAAGUUGGAGGGAUUGCACUGGAGUUCAUGUGUCUUCUUCAUCUCCAUAGUAUGGUAAAAGAUCUACAUUGAAAAUGGUUGAAAUGUAAUAAUCUCCCAGUAGCAUCUCCCCAAUUCUUUUGAGAACUUUGAAUGGUCCAUCAGCUCUUGGCAUGAUCUUGCCAUGAUGACCCAAUGGGAAGUCUUUGCAAAGUUGGAUCCUUACUAAAUUCCCUUUGUUGAAGGCCACAGGCUUUCUAUGCUUGUUGGUGGUGUCUUGAUACUUUUGAUUGUGCUUCACAAUUUGGGUUUGCACCUGUUCAUGAAAAUGUUGGAUGUGCUUAGCUUGUUCUUUUGCAUUUCCACUAAAAUGUUGUCAUAGGAACAAGAGCCAGGUUUAAUGCGCUACUAGGAUUUCACCCACUUGAAAAGGACUAAUACUGGUAGUUUGGCUAGAUGAUCAAUGAUAGGCUAACUCAGGUUGAGCCAAGGCUAGAUUCCAUUAACAAAUAUGUUUUUUACCCAUCACAUUCCUCAAAAGAUUACACAAAUUUCAAUUAGCGGCCACUUUUUGACCAUCCAUUCAAGGGUGAUGCAAGGGGCUAAAUUGGAGAGGGGUGCUAGGCUUCCUUGAAAGUGUAUCAAGAAUGAUCAACAAAUUUGGGAUCACAAUCGAAAGUAGUUUUCUUUGGUAUGCCAUGAAUUUUGACAAUCUCUUGAAGGUAAACGUCGCCCACAUGAGAAGCACCCAAAGUUUUGUUACAAGGUAAAUAUGAGCCACAUUGGAAAAGCAAUCAAUAACCAUCAUGAUAGAAUUUUUGUUUCUUUGAGUGUGGGAUAAGUUGAAAACGUUUUCUUGGUUCAGAUCCUCCCAAGGAGCAUCUGGAAUUAGUAGUGGAGCAUGGAGAUCUGUAUUUUGAGCACAAGCUUUGGCUAUGUGACAAGUCCUACACCUCUUGAUGUAUGCACCAUCUUGAGGCGUAUGUUACCAAUAAUUUUUUUUGGAGAACCCCGAUUUCGUUCCUUUAAUAGCGUCCAUCAAGUUCACCUUUAUGAGCUUCUUUGGUAAUAGCGUGGCAUGGUCAACAUUCUAGAAUACACAGAAGAUUGGUUUUUAAAGAGAUAGGCAUUAUGAUGAAUGAAGUGAGAAUAAGGAAUUUUAGAGCAUUUCUCCCAAAUUUUGUUAAAAUAUGAAUCAUCAUUGUAUAACUUUUCGAGUACUUCAAACCUAAGACUUUCGCCUUGCAUGACAAGCAACAAGGCCAGUUUUGCUCAAUGCAUCCAUCACUUGAUUUUGUAUGUGGGCCUUAUGCUUGAUAUAAAAAGUGUAGGUUUCGAGGACGUCUAUCUAUCUUGUAUGCCUAAUAUUGAGUUUAUGAUGGCCAUUUAUGAAUUUCAAGGCUUCUUGAUCCAAAAAGAGAACAUACUCCUUAAAUAUGAGGUAGUGGCUUCAAUGACCCAAAGCUCAGAUGAUAACAUAAAACUUUUUAUACUAGGUGUACUAAUUUCAUGGGAAUUAUUUAAUUUUUCACUGAACAUGGUGAUGUUUUUAUAUUUUUGGCUACACAUGGCAUCAAUUCCCCCAUUUGAAGCAUCACAAUCCACCGAACAUCAUUGAAAUCUAGAAGAGCUAGAACAGGAGCCUUUGCCAUUUCUUUUUAAUAACUUCUAAGCUUUUUUGGCGUCCUUAGUCAAUUCAUGGUAGCCACCUCUCAAGCAUUCAGUGAUAGAAGCAAUAAUGGUUCCAAGGCCUUUGAUGAAGCAGUGGUAGAAGAGUAGCAAGACCAUAAAAACUUUGAAAUAUCAUGUGGAGUAGGCAUGAGCUAACAAGAAAUAUCAACUUUGGAAGAGUCCAUCUUGAUGCCUCAGGCCAAGACAACCAAGCUUAAAAGGACUAACCUAUUUGUCAAGAAUUUACUCUUCUUUAAAAUUAGUGUACAUUUUUUUUUUUUAAUCUCGGGACUUUGAAAACUUGAUGCAGUUGCUUUAUGUUCUCCUCAAUAUUUUUGCUAUAGAUUAAUAUGAUCAAAACAAAUAUUAAGGUACCGGCCAAAUAAGGUCUGAAAAUGUGGUUCAUGAGUCGAAUAAGAGUGCUCGGAGCAUUUGACAGCCCAAAUGACAUCACCAUCCAUUCAUUAAGGACAUCCUGAGUCGUGAGCUGUUUUCAAUUCAUCAUCAGGCUUUAUUUGGAUUUGGUGGUAGUCACUUAUAAAAUCAAAAAAAAAGGCAUCCAAGUGUCAAGGCUCCUGCCAAGGGCAUUUACUAAGGCAUUUACUAAGGCCAUCUGUGCAACAAGAGUCUGAAAGAGAUGACAGCAAAAAUAAGCUGCUCCUGCUGAUGCUAGCAAGAAACAAUAAUUUAAAGCUUCUUGGAAUCAACAUUAUUUUUUAUUAUAAAUGGACCAAUUUUAAGUUGGAAUAAACAUCUUGAAAAGUUCAUGUUUAUCAGGAAAAAAGAAAAGGAGAAAUUGUUUGUGCAUUGGAUGCAGAUGCUGAAAUGACAAACUGCCCCUUGCAUUAGAAGUAUAACAAAGGCAAAGCAAAUCAAUAGCAGGUCUUUGUAAGGUCUUAGCUACCUGGUCUGCCUAGUAUACCCAUAGGGUUAUAAGAAGCUAUCGAUUAUAGUAUCAGACGGCAACCUUUGUACCUAUAGGUAAGUUCAAUAAAGUACUCAGUGGGGUGGUUGAUGUUGCUCUGCACAGGCGAUUUGGUGAAUCUUUUCUUUGGUGACUGACAAAACAUUUCUUUUCUAAUUUGAAGGAAAUUUUUAACAAAUGUUAAAAUAAUAAAGAAAUCAUGUCGUUCAAAUUCAGCAUUGUUAUGAACCCAUAACGAAGGGGCUUAUAUGCACUUGUUUAUUAGUCCACCACCUUGUUGACUUCUCUUUUCAUCAUUGAUAUUUAGUUGGAUUCCUCUAUUCCCACACCAGGUAAUUUGAAGUUUCUAUUGAAACUGAUUUUUUUCAGCUAAAAGCAAGCCAAAACUGACCACAACGUGCUUUUACACUAUUUUGCUCGAAAUGAAUUUUGGAUUCUAACUUUAAUCAGUGUUAGGUAGUAGUGUAAUUUUGGGGUCAGUUGUUCCAUUUUACAAUAAUGCUCAUAGGCAGUCAAAUUUGGCUAGAAUUGAUUCUCUCCUUUUUCUUUCCCUUUCUUUUCUUUUUUAAAUUAAGGAACUUGGAGGUGAUAAAUCUAGCAAUUCAUAAGAAUUUUAUUUUAUUCAAGCAUAUAGUUUUUAUGUUUUUAGAGAAUUGGAAGCAUUGAUGGGUUUUACUCCGAUAAAGUUCACAAGAAGGUUGGUUGUUUUUUAGAUGUGAGAGAUUAUAUUGGGUUGUAAGUAGGUUUCUAUUUUGUUGAAACAGUGGAAGGAAAAUGAGAUAUUCAGAGUAAAUUAAGCCCAAAGAGAUGCACAAGGAGUCAAGGAUUGAACUUUGAGUUGAACAGUUUUGAGCUCAAAUAUAUACAUGUUUAGAUGAAAUAAUUGGAGCCUUGGUUAUAUUUUUGUACUUAAAAGUUUUUCUCUGUUAAUGCUUGCUUCUUGAUUAGAUGAUAUCAUGUCAAAUUUGUAUCGUAGUGCAGCAUGUUUCGUGCAUUCUACUUUCAUAGACAUUUGCAUGAUUUCCUUAGAUAAUUAUAUUGUUAUCAUAUGGUUAUAUGAUAUAUUACACUCUGAAUUGAUAAGUUAUGUGAUUUAGAAUUUUUCAAGUUUGGGCUUCAACCUGAUAACACUGAAACUGUACAUCCAAAGACAUGAUAUGAUAUAGCAUAAAAUUCUUUAAUAUAUGUUUUCUUGCCUUUUUUUUUGAAGUUUUUGGCUGAGACUCCAAAGCUCAAGUUAGAACUGCCAAAAUUGAUACUAAAUUGGUCUGGCCGAAACCAAAACUUGGAACCUUUGAAGAAGUAUACAAGCACAUAAGGUCUGUUAUCACUCGAUAUUGUUGUUUGGAAAAUAAAGAGGCUGCAUUUGAUCAUGGUGGAGAUGAUGAUAUUGGUGGUAAUAAUACUAGAAAUUGAGAAGUUGAAAUCACUCAAUUAGCUGAUCAACAUUCAUAGGAACAGACAGAUUUACGAACAAGUAUUCAGAGGCCAUUUGCAGAAGCAGGUUAUACACCCAUUUGGGGACUUGCUGGGAGUUAUUACUUUUAAUCAUUCUUUUAAUAUUGUCAUUUGGUUUUUAGACAUGUGAAAUAUGAUGAAACCUUUGUUUUUUCAGAAUAUGGAUCAUUUGGUGGUGUCUGCUGAAAGCAGAAAUCCAUGCUAAAGGAGAGCAUUGAAUAAUAUCACUAAAUUUGAUAGAAAAGGAAGACUGAAAUAAAUAAGAUGCAAGUAGUAAAAAUAAAGGAAUUUGAAUGUUGCCAUUUACUGCUUAUAACUGUGGGAAUUGCAUUUAAUCUAUGGGCGAACCAUUAGCUUUUUUUUCGAUUGAUUUGAUUGGUGAUAUGGUUCAACCUCCAAAUUUUUUUUAGCUUGCUUUUAUACAUUUUUUUGGACAAAGAAGAGGAUAGAGAAAAUAUGUAGCGGAUUAGGAGCCAACUGAGAGCAUAGGGACAAGCGUUUAUGUUAUAAAAUCAUGGAAACUGCCUUUUACUAAGGUCAGUAUGUUCCUAACAUUAUGGGCCAGAGGCUAUUUGCAAGUUGUGACUUAAUGCUUCCAGAUGUGCCAUGUGUAGUAUGUUACUCCUAUUCUCAUGUGCUUGUCUGGUUUAAGUUGCACCAUUUUCCUUGAUUAUUUUCCUUAAUAGAUUAUCUUGUGUCUGCGGAAUGGAUGUCCCACUUGGUUGAACUUCAUCAAAUGACAGCUCCGAAUGGUGUCUUCCUGCAAAGAAGAAAGUAGACAUGGGAAAUUAAGAGAUCCCCUGAACCUACAACACUUAAGCAUAUAAAAAUGCAAUAUCAAAUCAUCACACUUGUCUAUGAAUUAGUUCUUGGCACAUCCUAUGUGCCAAUGGUCUUGCAUUAAGAAUCAGUAAAUCAUGUUGAAAUCAUAUGGCACUAAUGCUUCUAGCUCUACAACUUUCUCCCACUGCCUUCCAACAUUCCUAUCUGCACCUAGACAAGCCCCUCCAAUACUUCUUCUCGAGCUUGAAUCUGCCACCUUUUUUUCCCAUUCACUCACUGACAUUUCGUAACAUAUCGUGCUUCAGUUACAAAUCAAUGGUUGAUUUGCACCGCACCUUAUUUUGGACUUUAGACAAAUCUCAGUUAAUUACUUUAAAUGGUGGUAGUAAUAAUGGUGCAUUAUUCUCUGCCGUUUCUUUACAAUAGCAAAUUGUCAGGUGUAUAUGCCAGGAAAUGCCUGUGAAAAGUUUACUGUUGUUGAAAUACGGUAACGAUAAGUGUCUUACCUUUUGGGUUUGAAGUUUCUUUUGUGAUCAACAAACACCUCUUGUUUGUUGCAGCCAACAGAGGAUUUUUGCAUUACAAUUGUUUGAGCUGCAUAGAUUGAUAAAGGUUAGUGGGUAUCAACAAUAUCACAUGACUAGAAAUUGUAUUCAUAGUACACAAUGUAAACUAGCGAAUCUGGUUCUUGUCAAACAGGUUCAGAAGUUACUCGCUGCAUCACCACAUCUACUUCUUGGUGACAAUCAUGGUUCGAACAAUUCUAUGUUAGAAUUGCCUACAAAGAACCUACCUGCGGAGUCCAAUGUAGAAUUGCAACCACUGACAGAACAGAAAGAUAAUGUUCAGGAACAGAACCAGAACAUCAAGUGCCCCACAGAGAAAAGGGGAGUUCAUCCAUCCCCUUCUCCUGAUGGUGGCCUUAGCAAGGAACUUGAUCAGCUUCCAAGCAGUGAACCUUGCUCUGGAAAACCACCAGCUGUCCCUGUGGCUCCUGAUAACUCACCAGGUCCUUGGUGUUUCCAACCGCCUGCAAAUCAGUGGUUGGUUCCUGUCAUGUCGCCUACAGAAGGGCUUAUCUACAAACCAUACAGUGGGUUUUGUCCUCCAUCGGCUGGUUUCAUGGCCCCUAUUUAUGGAGGUUGUGGCCCUAUGCAGCUUCAAGUUGGUGGAGAUUUCAUGAACCAAGCUUAUGGUGUCCCAGCAACUCAUCAGCAACUAAACAUGGGGACUCCUUUUAGGUCACCUGGAGUUGCUCUGAACUACUUCCCAGCACCUUAUGGCCUUCCAGUUGUUAACCCAGUUAUCCCUACUUCAGUUGUUGAACAGGUGAGCCCUUUGACCAGGCCUAUGGAGCAGACCGAACAGCACUCACAGAGUUCAUGUAACAUGUUGAAUCUAAAGAAUGAAGCUUUUGGAGGCUGUUCUUGGAAGUUGAAUGCGUCUAAAGAUUGCGAGUUGCAGGGAAGCACAGCAAGCAGUCCUUGUGAGAGGGUUCAAGGGGAAGGGAGAGAUGCACUAGAUCAUCCUGUAGCCCCACUUACAAAGCGUUCAAGACAGCUGUUACGAUCUAAUGAGAGCGACUAUCAGACUCAUGUGAUUAAGGUUGUACCCCACAAUGCAAGCUCUGCCACAGAGUCUGCAGCACGAAUCUUCCGGUCAAUACAGGAAGAGAGGCGACAACUUGACAUAUAACACAUUUGUGCUUCUCCAGAGCACACUUAAUGGAUUUUACGAGCCAAUAUAGUCAUGGGCGUAGAUGUAGUUAAUUUGGUGUCUCGUCACAUUCAGAUUGGGUGUUUUGUUUAUAGGAGCCAAAAUUUUGGUUGUGGAUCCUCUUUUAUGUUGUCUAUAUGUAAUUUAAAUAAAUAUAUAUAUGUAUGUCGGAAACAUAUGGAACUGUUGUUUUGUAGCUUUUUUCUUCAGGAUGAUAUGCAGUGCAUGUAAAAAAUCCUGUACUAAUUUUCCAAUAUAUGCUAUCACAAAUACGAGUGAAAUUAAUCUCAAAUAUAUAAUGAGGCUUGGUGAAUGUAAUUGAUUCCUGCUGUAUACCAAAUUGUUUUAGCUCUGGCUAUGAGGAAUAUCAAUGUGCUUAUGCGGUACAAUUGGAAUAUUUAAGUUUUAGGCUGGCGUCUUUCUGAUUUGCCUUGGAAGAUAAAGGUUUUGCAAAUGAGGAAAAUGAAAAAUUGUGCAUUGUCACAUGAUAUGAACUCCAUAGGAGGGGAUAGGAUGCUGAGAGUUUUGCCUCGACUCAUACCAAAAUUGUGUAAACAAAUUGCUGAUGGUUGAAUGAUAAUGAGUUAGUACAGCUGGGAGGGAAUCUGUAGCGUGAAAUAAACAUGAAACCUGCUAUGAAACUGCGAUACAGAAUCUAAUAUUAACAAUGGAUUGAGCCAUUAACCGUUUAAUGUUGAUUCGGCGAAUUGCUUAAAGGUUUGGAAUGUAUAUGGGUUAUACGUUAUUAUAUGUUUUAUCAUCCUCACCAUCUUGGAACUCCGGGUAUGGCUUCUACUUCUGUCCUUGGGAACCUGUAUUGUUUGCUGGCGACCAGGGAUGGAACGCUGAAGCUCUCCAAACCUUUAGAGCGACCAAAGUCUUAGGUGCAUCCAUGCUCAGGGGUUUAAUGAGGAAAAGGGAAAAGAUCAUCUAGAAAAUUAUUUGUUGUCAUCUCUGCAGUCUUAAUAGUUGACUUCUAUUGUGUUUUCUUAUCAAUAAAUUACGAGGUAGGUGAUAGGAAUUUUGCAAUCGUGUUUUGGGCCUUGAUUUUCGGAAUACUCUUUGUUUCUCCCUGUGGCAAGAGAUAAUCAGAGGUGACACACCUCAGUGACUUGUUCAUAGGCUUAAGAAGCAAAAGCAUAAUUUUGCCUUUAAAAAAAAAAAAGAAAAAGUUAUUUUUAACAUUCGAAUAUAACAUUAAUGGAAAGGAAAUGAUUCGCCGAUAAUUUGGAUAACAGCACAUUAUCGUUUGACUUAAAAGCAUGAUGUUCUGUACCAGUCCGAACCAAUCCGAUAUAUUCCAUACCAUAUCGUAUCGAUGGAGAACCGAUCUGAUUCAGAUUAGAUUUUCGAAAAAUAGUCUGAACGAAAUCGAAUCAGACAAGUCAGUACAGUAUCGGCUCAAACGGUCCGAUAUCGGACGGUUCUGUCCGAUUCAACCUGAUUUUUUUUGGUGCUAUUAGAUGGAUUUUUUUUAUUUUUUAAUAUUCAAUACAGUAUGGUUGAUAUGAUACCAUACCGACCGACAAUCGGUAUGAAUUUCGAUACUGAAUCUACGAACCUUGCUUAAAAAUUUUGAACCCUAUGUCUGUUAAGCUAUGAUUUUACACAGGUAAACAUGGACCAAUUUUAAAAUUUUAAUUUCUAAUUAAAGUGCUCNNNNNNNNNNNNNNNNNNNNUUUUUUUUUCAAACAACAAAAAUCGGUCACAGAAUUGUGGUACACUCCCAUGCCUGACAUCUCUAUGCAUGAGCUCCAACAGCUCUAGUGUGAUUCGAGACAUAAAAUCCAUGCUUCUGGAGCCUGCUUUCAAGUUUUCUUUCCAUAGUUCUCCUUAUUAGGAAUUUUGAGGAAAUUAUGUAUUUGAACCCUCUAAAACAGGAAUCAUUUCCUUAUGGAGGGUGACAUAUUAUUAUUGCCACACUCGAGAAGAGGCAAUUAUGCUGCUGAUAAUCAAGGAAAAAUAGCCUCUCUUAUGUUGCUGAAUGGUUCAUAAGCAGAUUUCAUUUGCAACCCUGUAUUAUGAAAAUCCUCAUAACAGACUCCACUUUUUGAGAAAACUGGUACUCAAACAGAUGACGUAUGGCUUCUGUGCGCUGUAAAAUUAACCAAAGCUAUCAAAUCAUGAUCAUGGAUUCUGUGACCAAUACCAUUUAUCUUUCCAAGUCUAUAAUUCACAUUCACUAGCCAAAAUUUGCUUACCCUCCAAAAUGUUCAAGACUCUAACCUGGUUUUUGACAGUUUUUUCUCUUGCCUCUAAAAAUAAUGUUACCACGUCUCAAGAUGUACAAACAAAGCUGGAUCAUUAUGAAGAUGGUCUGGCACAGUUUAGACCUCAGAUCUAGUUCAGUAACAGGAAAACUACUUCAGGCCCCCAUAAAAUUCAAGAGAAAAAAGAAAAACUUCGCAUUAUCAAUUUGUAUGUGCAUCAACCCAGAAAUAAAGCUAGCUUCCGUUUAGCAUGGCUUCUAAACAGUGAUUACUCGUUAAAUAUGCAUCUCAAUACAUGCUUCCAUUUUCCACAUUGUAUGAUAUUCAACUCCAUAUGACUUAACAGGAAGUGUUAUAUGUGUACUGCCUAAUCCAGCUGUCCAUGUAAUGUGAUAUACCUUCCAUGAGGAACUAAAGCUUUCCACUACUUAUUAGGAUGUCAUAAAGUUUCCUCCCACAGGUAAGAGAAGACCAACAAAAAUAAUUCCAAAAAUGCCAAAUGGCUCACUUGGCUUCACCUCUAUUGGAUUACACUGAAACCUCUGGACAAAAACUGGUGCUUGAUGAUGGUAUUAGUGCCAGCAUUUGAUUUUUGAUGAUGCCCAUAUAUGUCUCUAUCUCUCUGUAGAUUGGAAGGUUUUGUGAACAGCAUGGCUGCAAACUUGCAACUGCAUAUUCCAGUAUCUGUGCAACCUCAGCUGGAGGAUACUGUCUCGCGGUACAAGCCUGCAUUUUAGAAACAAAGUUGGAGGAUCAAAUGCAUAGUGCCACAAAUAGUGAGAUAAAAAUAGUUUAUAAGUUCAACAAAAGGUGCAUGGAAAAUAGAUUGUAACAUUUAAAAUUGAGUGUAAUAUUGGCAACUUAAUGUAAAAAGUCCUCGGCUUACAAUUAAACGAGCGGCAGGAGACUUACAAUUAAAGGUGCAAAUAUUCAUAGUUUGUCUGCAUUGGUCAACCAGUACUGCCUAAAAGAGGCAACACAUCUCUCAAAGUCAAUGCAACUGAAGAUUAUAGUCUAUAAAGACUAAAAAGCUGCGUGGUAUGUAUUUGAAAUGUUGAGACUGUACCUAUAUUUCGUUUGCAAUAAAGCAAGGUAUCGUAAUGUCAACAAGCAGACCCGUGGCCCUGAUUUUAUAUUGCCUCAAGCCAAGGAAUUUAGUUAAAGUUCAAAUAUGCUUUGCAUAGACCCUGCUCACUAGCCAAAAGCAGCAAGCAAGAUAUAGAUCUUCAGAAAAUGUGGGUAUCUGAAUCACUUUCACUAUAGCCUAUACAAGGUUCGCCAUUUCGAUACCGGAUCCCAUACCGGUACCAUCUUAUUAUAAUAUCGGUACAUGGUUUGAUACAGGACAGCUCGGCAUUCCGAGUAUUGGUAUGAUGGGGUUGGUUGAGUACCGAUAGAGUACGAUAUGGUACCGACUAGUAAAACAAACUUUGAGCCUCCAACUUGAUUGGUUAAAAUUUGAGAAACAAUUCCAAUGAAGAAUAUAUAUCAAGAGAUCAAAAACUCAAUAAAUUGCUCUUAUUAGUUUUUUACCAAACAAGAUCUGGUAUUUUACAUGGAAAGUGGGGAACCUUUUUUUCUUCUUCGACAUUCUUCUAAUAAAUUGAAAGGCAUGGAGGAAUACUAGUUAUGCAGGAACAACAGGAAAACAGUUAAAAGAUUAAAUAAAAAAACAGAAAAGGAGUGGCAACAGAUCAAGUUUUGCAGAGCCGAUUCCUAUGAUAGUCUAGUUCUGCAUAACCAACCUCAAACAGUUCCUUAAACAAUUAGAGGAAAAAGUGAUUCAGAAUAUAUGUUUUGUCUACAAUCCUUAGCAACUCCAUCUACAACUUACCUGAAUCAUGAGAACAGCAGCAACACAGGAUGAAAUCAACUCUGACAGGAUUUGAGGCACAUCUGCAGAUGAAAAUUGCACUCGUGGAUUGAGCACAUGAGUUAUUGCUGGCUGUAAUAUACUUGAAACUGCCUGAUUCUGACUAUUGCCAUUUCCUGGAUGAGGAAUACAUCUUAUCCUUGAUUUGCUAGAUUCAGUUCUAAAGCACUGAUCAUUUUUAGAUUCUAAAGCCUCUUCAAUGCCGGUGAGAGCAUCUUCCCCAUUCCUCAGAGAGGACAUAGCCUGAAGAGUUCAACAGGUCAUGACAUGCUAAACCCAAACAUAAUCCAUAAUCAUGUAAAAACAAGGCAAACUGUGAAGUACAUCUAUAUAAUCAUGGGUCGUGAUAAAAAAAAAACUCCUGAGAGUCAAGAAAGUGAGCAAUUUUUCCAGGUUGAUGAAACUGAAGAAUAUAGUCAUGUCAUUGAAACAUGAGAUGACUCCCAUAUGUCCAGAGGGUGGCUCGGCAUGAAGAAAAUAAUAGACUACACAUAUUGGCAUGUCCUAUUUUUCUUAACACAUAUAAAUUCAAUAAGGUUAAGAUUAAGAAAUCAAGACAAUCACCAUCUGUCUUACCUGCACAGCUACAUCAACCAUUUUCCUUGCUUUAAACAUUGAAUUUUCCACAAUUUCUACUACCUGAGAUCCUUCAUCAUGAUUGUAAAGGUCAAAGGUACUGAAAGUGCCAGAACAUCCAGCAAGCCCUGAUUUUUCCGUUGCCCUAUGCAAUGGAGAUGCAGAGAUUCCAUGGAAAGUGUUACGUUGUCUUAAAACAAGCAGGGCAGAACGAACCUGAAAGUUAUGGCAGUUUGCUAUAAUUCUGUCCAGAGGCCUCAAAAAAGAAAAAGAGAAAAAAGCCAUUGUGACAUGUCAAAGUAUCAGGCAAAAAGGUCCACAAAGAACUUGCCUGGUCGCUGGCUUCUCGUAGCCAUGAGACUACCAUAGUGUUGUACUGCUUUCUGAAGUGUCCUAAGUCCCUUUCUGAAUCUCCAUCCUUUUUCUUUCCAGCUGCUUCCUCAUUCAUUUCCCUCAGUUCCAUCAGCAGUGCUUCCUGAAAAAGGCAAACAAAGAGAGUUCCUUAGACAAUUAUAGAAAGAAGCCCAAAGGUUCGCUGUUUCGGUACCAAACCCCAUACUGGUGCUAUCCUAUUACAGUGUCGGUAUGCAGUUUGAUAAAGUAUGACAGUGUCAAUAGAAUACGAUAUCCCAUACCAGUACAGUAUGGUAUGCCCUGUACUAGGUGGUAUAGGGCGGUAUGGCAAAGUUAAACUUGGAAGAAGCAAACUACCAUAUGUGGAUGAUGAGAUGAAAGUUUUGUAAAAGAUAUUAUUAGAAAAAAUCCCAGUGAAAACACAUGAACAGUCAGUAGUACAAUAGAAAAUAAUAAUCUAAUAGAUGUAGAAGCACUUGAAAAAUUAAAUAAGUAAAUACAUCAAUAAACCCAAUGGGCAAUGGAAAUUAAACCAUCACCUUCAUUCCAAGUUCUUGCAUGUCUCCAACUAUCUAUUGUGUGUUCGAAUUUAGAAAAAAGAUGGGUCCAAGUAGUCUGCAUAUAAAUUUAUAUGCACAUUCAUGACCUACUGCUAAUUUCCGAUCAAAAUUAGACUACCCCACUUCUGUGAACCUUUUCCUCCUAAGGGCCUAGUUCGGAUGAUCUUGUAAAACCCCACUUCAUGGGAUUGCCAACACCAAAUCAGUACAUGAGUGCAAAAUCUACUGUAUCAAUAAGCAGAACCAGAACAACCCAAUCUGCGGUCCAAAGGGAAAAAAAUCUAGGCUUGGACAUAUGAAGCCAAGAGACAGACCCAAUUACGGUUAUAUAGGGUCAAAAAAGAAAUUUGAAAUGAUAAUAUGGCAUACUACUAAUAUAACCAUAUCAUAAACAAAUUCCACAUGCCAAAGCAACCAGGGAACCUUUCUUUCCUUUCUCCUAUCUCCUCGAUAGUAACAAUCACGGACCAAUCCUCGUAAAUCUUCUUCUCUUUAAAACAAACAAACAAUGAUGGCGAGACCAGAAAGCUGUGUGUGUGUGUGUGUGUGUGUGUGUGUGUGUGUGUGUGUGUUUACAUCUGGGGAUUAUACAAGCAGGCUUUUUUGAGCCCAAGUCAAGUCAAGCCAACUCUUCUAGUCUAAACAACAAAUAUUUAGAAAUUUCAGAGACUUUAUGGAUUUAUCGAGAAGGACAUCAUCUAAUGGAGUGAGAUGAGAAUCCAAUGGGUGGUCAUCAUUUCAUAUUUAAGUAGCUCGACUAAUGGACAUUAGACAGGCAAACUAGAAACCAUAAAAUGAAGCUGACUUAAAAAGUCAUACUGUUUGGUCAUGUUCUAUUGAUGAUGCAAAACUGAUAAGCAUGAUUAAUAGCGACUGAGAUGACUCAGCAAUCAUCUUGGUACCAUGUACCCUCAACCUUGUUAUGUCACAAUACUUGUAAUUUCCUUAGACUGAUUAUUUUCCCACUCCUUCUCAACCUAACCUUUUCACUUAUUCUUAACUAAAUUAUAACAAUUUACUCAAAAACCAGAUGCAGAUAAAAGAUACAUUCGAGUUCCCCACAUUGACACCUUUCUUCCUUAAAUCUAAAUUUUUCAUUAAUAAUUGAUUUUUGUGAGUACAUUCAAACAUGAUUCAUGAUGUAUGGACGUGCCAACCGGUAUAUUUUCUGGUAGCAAUAUUAUAACAUGUAUUGAUAAAGAUAGGUAUUUCUCAUGGUAUAAAUACUAUUCUUUAAUCUCUAUACAUAAUGUUACAUGCCAACCUAAGCUUUAUGUCACCAUUCAAUAGUUAAGUGGUGACAUAACAUGUAUUGAUAGAGAAUUAGAGAUAUGUAUUUCUCAAGGUAUAACAUGUAUUGAUAGAGAUCGGUAUUUCUCAUGGUAUGAAUAUUCUCCUUUAACCUCUAUACAUAAUCUUACAGGCCCACCUAAGCUUCUUGUCUCCAUUCAACAAUUAAAGUGGUCAUAUAGGGACCCACAUAAGCAAGAAGUCUGGUUGGAUUUGAGGUGGAUUUUGCAAACAAAGAAUGCUCAAACAGCUAACUAGACAAACAAGAAAAACCAAUGAUCAAAGUAUGGAUCAGAAAACUCAUUUUGGAGUCUAUAUUCUGUACUGUAAUGCAUCCAGAAACUUCUUUGACAGUGGUUACGGAAGAAUUUUCUCACCUAUCAAAAAGACCAAAAGACUGCAUAAAAAGCAAGAAACGAUAUGUUAAAUUUCAGAUGUAUAUUCCUGAGCAGAACAAGAACAUUGUUUCAGUUUCUAAACAGCAGUUCCGAUAUAAAAGCUGCGAAACUAUGUUUAUUAGAAAAUAUGCAAAUUUCUGAUGUAUGCAUAUAUUGAAUAGUUUUAUAUAGUAUUUCAGGUGAUGAAAAUGAUUUUAAUAUCAAUUUCCUCAAAGAUCUCGGGCUAUUUAAUACAACUCAAAACAAUUGUUAUACAUGAACAACAUUUCAUUUGUAUGGAGUUGCCAUUGAUGAAUGAACAGAGUACAUAAAUAUAUAUGCUUUUCAGUUACUGCACAAAGUGUGUAAAAAGACACUAAUUUAAAUUUUUACUUUUAGAAAUACUAUCCAAUAGUUGAAUUAAAACUACUGUAAACAACAAGAAAACAGACUUUAAUGCAUUCAAGGUACCCAACAAGGUCACCUGUUUAUUCAAAGCACAAGUCAGCUCCACAAGGGCUCUAACAUCAGCUUCCCUUUCUUGGAUCUGUGCCGAUGUAUAAGGUUGAUUGCCAAUCGUAUGUGGUGCAACAACAGCAACUUCACUUGCAGAAUAUUUGCCCAGUGCAUUGGCAUCUUUCAUAUCACCCUGUCAGAAAGGAUUUUAGUUGCAUAAUUGAGUUAAUGGUGGACAAUAUCAUCCUCUUGAAUGAGUAAUAUCAUCAUCUUGCAUGAAUAGAUAUACAAAAUGGAAAAGACAGGCAACCUUAGCCUGCUUAUUCAAUGCAAUCCAUGGAUAUUUAGUUGAGGUCAAAAUAGAAGCUCCAUCUGCAAUCUCCAAACUCUUUUUUAGAGAAAACUUUGCAGAACUAUCCAUUUUCAGUUCCAUUAUAUGACCAUCAGGCUUUUUACCAGUAAAGUUGUUGCAUAAAUGGUAACCGACACCAUUCUGUUUUCUAAGAUCUUCAGGCAUAUUCUCCCAUGGAUUUAGAGGCAUACAGUCAAUAUCCUGAAAAAGAUAGAUUUAGUUUUAAUAUGAAAUGCAGCCACAAAACUCCCAUGAAUGUUAAGAAAAAAAAUAAAAUAUGAUGGAUGGACCUUCAACUAAUCUUCAUGUCUUGAAAAUAAAAAUAGCAAUGAUAAAUUGAUAAAUGCACAAGAAACUGAAGAAACAGGAUUUAGCUUGCCCAAAACCUCUGCCUGUAUGAUGGCCUGCUACCCAGACACAGGGCAAUUCACCCCUAGCAGCAACUAUGAGGCACUAAUCCAUGUUUCUUCCAGUUGUCUAGAGAGUUUGUCAUAAUUUUAGCAUGUUCUCAGGUAAUACUACGAUACGAUAACUAAACAAGUAUUUAAAUUAAGUUACUUCUGUACUAAACAAAAUUUAUACAAUCCCAGCAUGCAAUAUUUAGACCAAGGCUAGAAUGGAAAGGGAAAUGCAGAGCAGCAGAAGUAUAAAUAAGUCUCAGUACAUACCAGCAAAAGCUCUUGAACGUAAACUAUACUUCAUUAUUGCAUCACAAUAUGUUAGAAUGUUAAACUCAAUAUUUGUAUUCAGCAUCUUAAAAUUAAUCAUCAGAUCACAAGUUUAUAUGCUUGAUCGUUGCAGCAGAGAAACCAAUGAAGGGACAUGGAAGGGGACCCAACUCAAGAUUAGAUCAAUGUUACAAAUCUUCUAUACAUCUGAAGAACAAAGGAUAAACAAGAUCGGACUUAGGAUCACAAUAUGGUUAAAACUUAGAUUUGUGAGCUGAAUAGAUCAAGAAUGGACCAGUCAAUCUACCAACAGUCAAUUUGCAGGGAAAUUUCUAGACAUUCCAAGGAGCACUAACCUAUGUUAGACCAUUUCCUGAUUUGCUAGAUAAUGAUCCAAGCCAUCAACACACGCAAAUUUCCAUCAUUGCCUUCCAUGGAGCUCUAUUGGAUGAAUGCAACACACUUGAAUGCAUGAUACACCGAAGAUUGAACGAAAGGGUAAGUUCCUCAUAUUGAAAUGAAAUGGGUGAUCAACACAAAGAAUAAAUCAUAAUAAAAGUUAACCACACAAAUAAUAAGAGAAGAUUUGGUGGUCAAGUAUGCACAAAUUCCAUCUGCAUGAUCUGCUUCAAAUUUAGCAACAUGCUGAUUCACUAAAAAGGGGCCUAAAUGUAUAGCGGAGAUGAUCAAGAAAUUGAACUUCCAAGCAACAAUGAGGAUCAUAUUGUUUGGACUUUGGACCAUUGUCUGAAGAGUCUUGUUUGCCACAUGCUGCACGUCGCAUCUCAAGGUGGGCUCCAUGACAUACCUUAAGAGGGUAUUUAGUAUGGGGUGGUCUAUCCAAGAUUAAGAGUGAUAUGCGUGGAGAUAAUGAGAUCACUAUGUUUAGUUGCACCAUGGUGAUCCUAUGUGGCAAUGACUUCAAAUCAAUCCCACGUCUUAAAUCACCUCCCAACCCAAUGAUGGGAUAUCCAUCCUCGAGGUCGGAAAUCCAAAAUUAUCCUCAAACAGUGAUUUUAGGCUGAAAUAUAAGAACAAAAAUACCCCUUAGUCGAGCAAAAAAAAAUUGAUUAUCAAUAUACCAUUAAUCAAGGAUCACCGAAUCAAAACCGGACCUCAUGCCAGCCGACCAGCGGUACGAGUCGGUAUGCCCUUAUAUCGGAUCCAAACCAAUAUGGAAACAACAGAUAAACCGGAGAGGAAAAGAGAGAGAGGGGAGGGAGGGAGAGGGAGAGAAGGAACAAAUGGCCAGUAGAGAUGCCUGCGGCGGCCAUCGGAAGGCCAUUAAGCCGAGGCCUCCUGGGAGGGGAAAGGAGGGAGGGGAAGGCAGCGGAGAGGCCGCCGAAGGGUAGUUUAGUGAAGUUGACAAACGCUUUGCCGACUUCACUAUGUUGGAUUUUUUUAAAACAUUCAACGAAACAUGGGUGAAGCCUCUAUUUUGCACCCUAUGGCAACCGCAGAGGAUUUUUGGGCUGCUCGACGGCCACCAAACAGUCCUCUGACGGCCUCCCCGCCGCCUUCUGCUCCCUCCUCUCUCCCCCUCUCUUUAUCUCACCUCUUCUUAAUCUCCGAAGAUCCAGAGUCUUAGCAAUCUCAAUGAGCCACCACCAGCCUUCUCCUCCCCUCCCCUCAUCUCUCUCUUCCUCUCUUUCCUUCUCACUCACUUCAUUUUCGCGGGCAUUCCAAAUCUAACAACCAAAGCGCACCAGUUAGCCGCUAGUACGGUUCGACAUGCUCCAAACCAUCCGGUUCCAACCGGUUCGACGAACCAUAUCAUUAAUAUAUUAUAUCAAUUUGUAUAUAUGAUAUUAUAUUAUAUUUGAUAUCAUAUAUUAUACUUAUGAUAUAUAAUAUAUUAUAAUAUAUUAUUAAUCAAUUAUUUUCAUAUUAGGAUUCAAUGAUAAUUUGUAAAGUAGAGUAAAAAGAAUCUUAUUAUACUUUAUAUUUAUACAAUAAAAAUAUUUAAUAUAUUACUUCUAUUUGCCUUAUUUCUCUAAUCAAAAUAAAUAUUCAUAUUAAUAAAUAAUAUAUUAUAAGUAUAAAUAAAAAUAUUAAUUUUAUAAUAAUAAUUAAUAUAUUUUUAUGGAUUAAUAAUUUAUAGGACUUAUAAAUAUAUGUUUAUAGAAUAUAUUAAUAAUUAAUAUAUUAAUAAAUAUAGUGAUAUUUUAUUUAUAAUAUGUUAUAUAUUAUUAAUAAAUAUAUUUUUAUUGAAUAUAUUAUGGAUAGUUUUGGUAUUAUAUAAUCGGUGAUCUUGAAUUUUCAUAAAAUACUAAACAGGUUACUCGUAGAUACCUAAGGAUCUUUAAUUCCUAGACCAUGGCCUACCAAACGCAGUGAUCUAUCUUAGAUCACUACUGAUCAUAUCACCACAAGAUUCGGAUCAUCAGUGAUCUUAGAUAAAUGUGGUAAUCCCAUUUGGCUCACCAAACACUACCUAAAGUUCAUAGUCGAGGUUGUAUCCAUUGUAGCAUAAGCAUUACAUAACGAGACUUCUAUAAGGCACACAUCUUGUACAUCAUGUUUCACCUUAUAUAGGAGGUACACAAAUCAAGCACUUGAUUAUUUCAUGGAAGAAAAGGGAUUGAUAUUUUCUCUUUCUUAGAUUCAUGAAUGAAGCCUCCACAUGAAGAUUCAAAUGCUAAGCCGAAGUAUUACAGGUUUUGUUAUUUUACACUAACCACUAAGUGCAAUUUCGGUGUUAUGAUCCUGAUAAGAGCAAUAUGUUGUGUACCUUACUUUGCUUCUUAUGUAUGCUAUUUAUCAUAUGUCUAAGAAUCUCGUAGAAUCAUGUGCACCAUUUCUUUUUUUUUUUUUUUUGAGAAUCUCUUAAGAAUAUUCAUAAGGAUUACGUCUGAUACUUAGGGACCACCUCUCCCAAUGUAAUUUUAAAUCCUAGCCCCAUGCCCUCCUUACAUAUAAGGAAUAAAGGAAUUAUUCAUCUCAACAUAAGGUUUGCAAAAGGGUGAAAAACACUGGUCCUAGAUGGACUCAACAACAAUACAUGGAAAUAAGGAAAGAAAGUGAUGACAAUACAUUCAGGAACUUGCUACAUAGUCCACACGAUGGCUAUUCUAUGAUCCAUCAAGAUAUUCCACAAUGAAGCAAAUAAUUCAACUAGAACCCUCUUCGAAUCACACAAUUCCCUUGAAACAUGAAACCCUUCCAAAGCAAUAGAACAAUAGCAAGAAUCAAGAUUACCUCAUUUCAGCAAAGAAUGAACAAGAGAUUACUUCAAGGUGAGUCAUAAAUGAUGCCAAGUUCAGAAGACAACACCCUUAAGAUAGAAAUGCAUUGCUCCAUUGUUCUUGCCUUGCUUACUUCUCUGUAUAACUUCAGCACUCAUAUUCUCUUCUCAACAAGCUUCGCUCUAAUUCUAGGUUCCCUUUCACAGCUUGCUAGUCAUUUCUAUAGAGAUUACACAAUUCCACAAGUCAAAACUCCAAUAAACAGGCAAUUUAAAACUAUCUGAAAACAGCAGCAGCAUUGCUAUCCUGUAAUGUGAUUAUGCCUUUCAUCAAGAACACCAAAACUAUGUCUUAUAUGGUAAACACAUCCUUGAGUCACCAAAACUCAGAGAGUAGUAUAUCCUCUUUACAUAACAUUCUUUAAAGCUACAUUUUGCAAUCCCUCCAAAAUGAGUUAAUCAUGGUCGGUGCCCAUUAAGUAAACCAUCAAAUCUGAUAUCUCCCAUGCUGAACAUGCAACCUUUUUGUUUUUGAACCCAAGCUUGCACCUGCUGGCUUUCAUAACCUUAGGCAAUCUAAAAUUUGAAAAAAGCACAAAGCAGGGCAGUCAUACAUCUUCAUUCCCCCAUUUUGAACUUUUCUUUCCCUUUCUUUUUUUUAAUUUCUUAUGCACAAUAUCUAUUUUUUUUCCCCAAAUUUCUUGCCUUUUCUUUGAUUAAUGAUAAAUUUCUUAGGAGUUGCUUAAGUUUUGGCUGGAAAAAUUAGACAAAUGGAUCUUCUGAGCAGGCAAAGAAAAGAUAAUCAAAUAUGAUGAUCAUAACAACACAGCCACAACAUCAGGUAGUGCCCACAGGAAGAUAAAUUCCGGAAGCAUAAUGUCAAAACUUUUGCUUCUUUGGUCCACCUACACUCUUCUAGGAAAACUAAUAUGACUCCUUAGACUUCAAUAAUAGUUCGGACUGCCGGUUUUCAAAAUAUGUGGGAUUUUGUCAUCCCAUGUUCAUGAGUAAUUUUGGACACAAUGAAGCUGUCAUCUUUGUGUGGGUUCACAGGAUAUGUUGUUGGGAUAUUCCCCCCUUUAUGACAUGUUACAUGGCAAUGUGUGCAUGAUGCAGGAGUGCUCAUAUUGUAGGAACUCUAAAAUCUACACAUAAAACCAGUGAAUUCUAGCUUCUACACAUAAAUUAGUGCUAAAAUAGUACAAGCUUUUGAUGGACAUCAGCAAAACAAGUGACAAAUCUAGUCACAAGUCCAGCAUCAUAUAUAAAGGCUUAAAAAGAGCAUCCCCAAAACCACAAAUUAAUUAAAACAUCCAAGGUAGAUGCAACUUCUCGGUGCUUACUGAGAUUGCAAGAUACAAUGAACUCAAAUUAAGAAACUAAAGUAUAAAAGAUUUAUUACCAUCACAAACUCAACCCCUAGAUCAGGCCUGUCAAAUUGAACCCUGCACUGGUCUCGAUCAACUGUCAGUAUACUUCCAUCAUGAAUUUCACCUUUUCUUGGGUGACGGGCAAUAACACGCUGACCAACUGACAAAGGUCGGGCUAAAUCUUCUGGAAGCCCCUCCCUCACACCAGCACGCAAUUCAUCAUAAUAAGUCCUCACUGACUCACGAUACUGGUUUAGUUUCUCCCUUUCUUCCGACAAAAAUUGUUUAGAUAAUCGACGCGGUUUGCCAAGAGAACUGUUGAUAACAAAAUAAAUUGGGUAAAAGCUAACCAAGAAAAUAUUAAGCCACUGUAAGUAUUGAUUAGAAAUAGAUAGCCAGUAAAUACCUUCGUACAAUGCUCCACUCACAACGAGUUAAUCUGGGUACAUGACCCAAUCUUACAUAAUUUAAGUAUUCCACAUACUCACUUCUAGCAAACCAUGGAUAAUCAAUUGAGCUGUAGAACCACUCAAAUGCACACCAUCUACGUAGUAAUUGCGAAGAUAGGCAGUGAGAAAGUUUUCCCUGCAAUGAGUUAAUGAUUUAGUAUAAAAGGCUAGAAUUUUAUAAUCCUUAACAUGCAUAGGAUACUGAAUACCUAACCUCCAGAUCAGCUGCCUUGCUAUUGGCAAAAUGUGAGCAUGCACUCAGGCCUUGAUCUCCAACUCCAUCAGAAAAUCUGGACUUCCUCUGAGCCAUUGCUUUCUGCAAACUUAUUUUACGCCUGUUCCUAGUUCUGGUUGGAACACUAGGAUGGUUUGCAGCCAAAACUUGUGGAUUUGGUUCGGUUAAGCUUGUCACUCCUCUGCCCAAAUCAGUACUUAAAGAUGAGCAACCAGGCAUCUGAAUAUUUUUUCUUUGUUUUGCCAGUGGAACGAGUUGGCCACUAGAGGAGGUUUUCCCUUCUUCAACUGAGACCUAAAAAACCAAGGUAACAAAUAGAAUUCUAGUCAAAAUAAAAAGACUUAACAAUAUAAAAUUUCAUGGUACAAAAGCCAAAUACUUGCUUUAUCUUCAAAAGUAAAAGGCAACAUAUGGAAUCCAAAAUUUAAAGAAUUGAUGGCACAAGGCAUGAACUAGUGAGUGGUGACAUAGCUUCACUCAAGCAUAAAGAAGAAACUGCUGGAAAAGGCGCAUAAGCAGCUUAGUUAGCAGCCAAAGAGUAUUUUCUGGCUUUGAUUCUUCGGACCAGAGAAGGGAGUGCGAUACACUGGGUUUUAAAUACUAGUACCAAACCUCAUACAACUUUUGUAUCAGAAUGGUAUGGUAUUAGUAUGGUACCAAUACUGGUCAUAUGCAUAAAAAAUGACCAAUUCUAAAAAUUUAAAAAAAAUGAAAAACCAUAUAUGCUAACCAGUCCUGGUGGGCAUACGAUAUGGACUAGCAUGCAUCAAUACAGCCAAUCAUACAGGCACAACUAUUUUAGUGUCCCAGCACCCAUGCCAAUGCAGGUUGAGCACCGAAAUGGUGGGACACCAAUCAUACCAUCUUGUUUUGGCAGUUUUUGAACCAUUGUGAAUAAUUGCCAAUCCUCCGCAACCAAUCCAAGGUUAGUUGUUCGCCUCCCUCCUAUCCUAGUUAAUUGGUUACAACUGAAUGUGUACAAAAGAUAAAAUGCAAAUGCAGAACUAAUGUAAAACAAUGUUCACUGACUUGGAACUGAACCCCAUGCUGGCCAACCAGGUACGAGUUGGUAUUGUCCCAUACCAAACCGUACCUGAUCCGAACUGACACGAAAACAAGGGAGAACCGGGCAGGAAAAGAGAAAGAGGGGGGUUGAGGAAGGGAGAGGGAGGGAAGGAAAGAGAGAUCAGUGGAGAUGCCAGCGAUGGCCACCGGAGAGCUAUGGAGGUCCUCAAAGGGCCACAAGGGCUCCGCAGUCCACGAGAGGAGAUUAGAGAGAGAGAGAGGGGGGGAGGGAGAGAAAUGGAGGGAGGGGCAAGCGGUGAAUGGCCGCUAAGUGGUCGUUGUGGCCGCCAGACAACCAAAGUCGGCCCCAUGGACGCUGUAGGUUCGAAACAAGGGCAACCCACCCCUAUUUAUUGCGUUUUUUUUUUUUAACACCCAUUUGUCGGCUUCAUUGUACAUCACAUUAAAAAAAAUAUGAUAAAUAAGGACGGGUCGCCCCUAUUUCGAAUCUGAAAUGUCCGUGGGGUCGAUUUCGACAGUCCAACGGCCACAAUGGUCACCCUACGGCCUCUCUGUCGUCUCCCCUCCCUCCAUUUCUUUCCCUCCCCACCUGUCUCUCUAAUCUCCUCUCGCAAGGACUGUGGAGCCUCAGAGGCCUCAGUAGACCUCCGACAACCUUGGCGGGCCACCACCAACCUUUCUCUCUCCUUCCCUCCCCCUCUCUUCCUUUCUUUCCUUCUCCCUCGCUCCAUUUUCGUCGGCAUUCCAAAUCGAACACCUAAGCCACACCAAUUGGCCGCCCAUGUGGUUUGGCAUGCCCCAAACCACCCGAUUCGGGGCAGUUCGGCAUUCUAUGAUGUAAAAAUUGUUAACUUCAAAUUUCUGAGUCCAUGUUUGAGAAUAUUAUCGCAUUAGUGAACUUGUAGAGAAAGCAGAAAUGAACUUUACCACUAUGUAAACUAUAAAGGGUUCACAAGUAGUCACACCAAACAUUUUCUUUUUCAAUAUCACUUGCAUUGUCACCUAAGAUGUGUUUUAGUUAGGCCUCGUUCUUUUGUUUGUAUGAAUUCCUAUGCCUUUCUUAUGAGCCUCAAUUCGGAAAAGAAGGAAGCAAGAGCCCUUUGUCUCCUCCCCAAUUUUUCAAGAAUCCCAAUUGGCAAGGGUAACUCAUAUGGCAUAUACGCAGAUUUAUUUAUUUUUUUUAGCGCCAGCAGCUGAGGAUUAAUUUUCCUCCCACAUCCCUGCUAGUCCAUCAACUUCUCUUGAACCACUCACAUGCACUGCAUGUGCAAACAAGCAUGCUGCUGCCUAUCAGAUACAGCUAGUUGCAUUGCAUGUGCCAGGUUCUAAUUCAAAAAAUAAAAUUGCCUUACUAUACACAUGUAGAGAUGAACAGUAGAAUUAAAUGCAAGCCUUGAAAGUUUAUUAACAUCUUAUUAACAUAAUGAACGUAUAGAAAUCACUCUAUCCACUUAAUAAAGCAGGUUCGCUAUUGACAAGAACUUUAGCCAGAAGCUUUAUUGCUACAGAGAUCUGACAAGGACACCAAAAAGGCAAAUGCUAUAUCAGAAAUUAGUGAGAGAGAGAUUGCACUACUCAUUUCAUCUACCUACAUGAGGUUCUAGCCAUUCAAACCAUUUCACAUUAGUGUACAACCACAUCCAUAUAAACAAAAGAAGAUACUUUCACCUCUUUCUCACAGGUUGUGUAUCUAAUUCCAUGUUCAUAAAACAAGAACCAAAACAAAGAAACAAUAAUCCUAUAUCAGUGGCCAUAGAUCAGGAAGAGAUGAGUUGUAGAAAUAGGUCUUACCAUGCAAUAUAUAUACAGAUUAGCUAUCUCCAAGCCAUGUGAUGUUACAAAAAGACUAACUUCUCAAAAUCAUCUUAAGAGAAACAAAAAUACUUCCACAAGUUGCUGUAAGAAUUCAAUGAACCAUAGGAGCUAAAUUUGAGAUGAGAAAAGUAACAUGCUCCACAUAAGACUUGUUGUGCACCCAAAAAAAAACUGUUUAUCAAUAUACAUUGUAGGGUUCAAGGCUUCAAGCAAUACUUCUUAAGCACAUUUUUAACAGACAUUCAUCUCAACAUGAUAAGGAUGAGCAUACUCCACCAAAAUCUAGAAUAUUGCACUUUGUCGACUAGUUAAUUAAACAUGUCCUGAAAGAGCAACUUCAAUUACAUGUUAGAUUGACAGUCUACAAGAAGCUGAUAAUUAUGUCUACUGUGCCUUACAGUACAGGGUUGCAUGUGUUAUUCUUGUAUAACUACUUAAUGAAAUUUAAAGCUUCGUGGAGUUGACACAGGAACAUUUAGAAUAUGUGGCUGUAAGCAAGGUUUUAAAAUAGCAAUACUGAAUUACAUACCAUUUUCCUAUCAGAAUAGAGCAGUAAGUAAUGAUAUAAAAAGAGGAAAAACUACACCACGCACUGGUACAGCAGCAUCGGUAUGCACUGGCACAGACUGAUAUAGACCGAUACAAUACAGGUACAUAGGACAUUGGCAUCCCGACACUGGUACCGGUGCCGGUUUCAUGCCAGAAUGGUAUGGUACAAGCACCAUCCCCUGCCGGCGGUUUUUGAGACCAUGGACAUAAGCAAGUACAAAGAGAAUCUGUAUAUUUAGAUCACAUCAAUUGUGAACCCAACAAAAUAAGCAACAAAGUUUCUGAAUGCAACUGGAGAAAAAUAAACACGUUCUUCUAAAAUUCACUAAGAUGAUAUUCAAUUUGAAUUUCAGCUUUUGAAAUUUGCAACAAACAAAAAAAAAAAGAAAAAGAAAUCAAAAUCCAUAUCACGCAACAAGAGACUUAAAAAAGGAUUACUCGUAAUGGAGAUGAAUGGAUCCAAUCAACUUAGUUUCAUAAAACUCUUACCAUUUCUUCUGGGUGCUUCCACUUUCUUUUUGACAUCUCACUGAUAGAUGAGUAGACUGUCUUCCUUGCUUCAAAGAUUGAAUUUUCGUUAGGCGAGAGAUUCAUAUGUACACUUUUUUGCUGAACAACAUGAACCCCAACAUCUGAAGAAUAUCCCCUAUCCUUUAUGACAGAGAUUCUGGAUUUAUCACUUUCUUGCUUUGCUGUCAUUGAUACAGGCAUGUUAAAUGUGAAUGCUGAAUCAACACUUCUUUUUUGCUCGUUAUCAUGUUCAGAUGACUCUAGAGAUAAAACAACAAAACAAAAUGUACAUGUCUAUAUGCCUGAUUUCACACCAAAUGUCUAUAUCAAUAAAAAAAACAACCAAAUUAGAUAAUCACCAAAUUGUAAUGUAUGUAUGCAUCUCUCUUUAUGAAUGUUAUACUUGUUGGGACUAUGUAACAUAUUCAUAGGCUUCUAGUUUAUACUUGUUCACCAAAAAAUAUAUUAUAGACUGAUCAGCAAUUAUCUAUAACGAGGAAACAAUACCCAAAAACACAUAUCUGAUUUUACAUGGAAUAUAGAUAAGAUCUGGUGCACAGCUAAAUGGAGAAAAAGAAACAAAUUGCAAAAAGUUAACUAAAUGACAACAAAGGUAACAAGUUCUCAUGUUCCUGAGUGAGGAUGCAAGUAUCUACAAGAAAGUUAAAGAAGCCAUGGAUGAUAUUUAUUUGCUCAGAAGAGGAUUAGGAAGUAUGAUGAAGAAAAAGAUACAACAUCAAAAUUCAAAAAUUCUAAAUUACCAUAUCUAACAUCUAUGAGUUUUGGUUAGUUAUAGAAUUUAGGAAUAAGAAAACUAACUAGAUUUAGAAGCAGAAUUGGGCAACAGAAUCUUCACAGACAAAUCUGCCAAAGUCUGUAGAGCAUCUAGGGCACAGCUUUCAUCUACAUUUAGAGAAAAAAAAAAGUCAACAAGAAUAUCUAACGUUUCCAUAAAAUUUUCAAUCAUUGAAUAAGGAACAUAUACUCAAAUUUAUGCUAGUUUCAAGAGAAUAACAAAAUAAAGGAAAUAAACUUAAAGAUGACUUUAAAGCACUAAAACAGUUGAGUAUAUUGUAAUCCAAGCAUGAUAUAUUACAUCAAUAAUAAUUUAAAUCUACAGAAUUUGUUUACAAAUUCAAGUUUCCUUUCUGGAAGUUUCUGAGACUUGCAUGUGAGGACAACAAUCAAAUGAGAAGGACUUUUUUCCUGAGAAAAAAGGAGGGGUUUCCCAUCCAACCACCCAUGUGUAGUGGGAUUCGAACCCACGUCAUUUGUUACUGCCCCAAUAAUUUUACCAACUUGAUAAGUCAUUGGAUAAAAAAGUAUAUUUUGACAAUUAUGAAGGCCUUAAAAGAGUUUAUUUUACAAAACUAAUUAACUGGAUAAAGAACUACAAUUGACACUGGAAGAGUGAAUACAGGCAUUAUCUUAUGAUUGCAUGACAAAAUAUCAGAAAGGAAAACCAUCUUAUAACUACUAAGGAACAGAAGAUAAAUGGAAGGUCAUAACUGAAAAAUGCAUUAGAAGGCAAUAUACCUGGAGAAAAGAGUUCGUGAAUUUUCUUCCCUGGAUCCUGCAAACCUAUGGCAGUUUUUUGUUCUCUAACUUCUGUGUCAAUUUCAUCUUUAACAUGUCUGACAUUAUGGCCUUCUUCAGCACCACUACAAGCCUCCCUUGCAUCAUCAAAUUGGUGGAUCUGGAUGCCUGGACCUUUUGACUUCUUUCCUUGCAACUUCUUCACUUCACUUUGAAUUUUACGUGCACCAGUACCUUCAAUAUCUGAUAGUCUAGCAUCACUGGUGAAACCCCCAUUAUCUGCCUCCAUGCUUUGCAAACUACCUUGCACAGACUCGCGAUCAAUUCCAAAACUAUUGUAACCAGGAUUGGUCAUACCUGGUUGAGCAUGCUAAUCUCGUCGCAGAGAAAAAUAGAAAAAAAAAAAUUUGUUCCGUUCAUGAAUGGAAAAAUGAAACCAAGCAAUAUAUUGACAACAAAAAUGAAGAUAACUACCCCUGUUUUACCACUCCACAUGGGAGAGGAUCCGACACAUUCUGCUUUUCCAUCACAUGUCUCAGAAAUCUGUAAUGGCCUUCCUCUCUGAGAAGCUUCUGCUAAAGCUAAAACUGCACCAUGUACACCUUCAUCAGCAGAAGCAUCUUCCCUAAAAUUCAAAUCAUGCCUUUUUGGUGAAAUAAUAUUAUUUCUUUCAUUAUUGUCGUGCCAAAAUGGAACAGGGAAGCGAGGAGUCCUCUUUCCAACAGCACGAGGCCAAUUGCCGCCAAACAAAUCUGGCAUUAAGUUCCAAUAUAAAAUGUCAAUAACUAAAUUAUACGUUUAAACCUAACAGUUUCACAUGCAUAUAUCAUGCAGUAAGAUUAAAAGAGAAACAAUUUUCAAUUGUUAUAAAAGGAUAACAAAAAACUAUAGCUAAGAGAAACUAGUCCACGAGUUGUGCGACUCUUGAAACAAGAUUUCAAACAGUGAUGUUUUAACAUUUUGAAAAGCAAAGGCUAUUCCACAGAGAGCAUGCUACACAAUCCCUUGCAUUUCUCAAGAGAACAUGCUUGUGCUUCACUUAGGGUUUUCUGCAAGAGGGGAUGACAUGAAAACAGCCUGGGAAACAUGUAACUACCCACAAGAAAUUCCAAUGGGGAAGAACAUUAGCACAGUGCAAGAGUUGUUUCCUGUUUCCUUAAUAAGUUCAUUUUUCCCACCUUACGUUGUUGUCUAACAACUAUAUUGACUAUGAGAUAUUAAUCAAAAGACCAUAAUGCAACAAAUCAGAACAAUGGGGCAGCAAAAAUCAUUGUUAAAAAAUGAGGAUUCGAGAUUGUCCUGGAAGAGUGUGAAUUAGUUCACAAAAAGUACUAUAACAAUAAAAAAAAUGAUAUACAAGCCCAAUCCCAUGGUGUACCAUGUAACACAAGGAAUCCUUUCAUAAAGCUGCCAACAAAGCAUUCAGUGGGCCCAAACUCAAACUUAAACUACUGUUAUCCUCAAGUUUAUUUACUUUAACCACAACAAAAGAUGAAAAAAAGACCUUAAAUAUAUAAAAAGAUGGGUAAGAUAAAGGGUCUGACACAUGCACUAAGAUAAUAUCUCCAAAAGUUUGCAUGCAUACCAAAUUUUGGGCCGAAGGAGUAAAGCUCCUCUAGACAAUAUAGACUUACACCCUGUUUGAGAUUGCUGUUGGUAUUAAAACUUUUGGAAGUAGCGCAUUUGCUAGUAGAGCUUAAAACAAAAAAUUGUUUGAUGUUUAGUAACUGCAUUUCUAAAGUGCUGUGAAACUUUAAUAUCAGCUUGGUUACCCAAAUGAAAAAGUGCAUUUAGCAUAAGAAAAUGAUAAUAAAUGAUACUGCAUAUUGCUUUUAGUUUUUUAACUUUUUUGUAUGAUCAAGACCUGUUAUUACAUAGUAUUCUUAAUUUACAAAUAUUUAUUUUGAUUAGUAUAACAUUGUAGUAUAAUAGUAAAAUAUUAUAGGAAUAUAAUAAUGUUACACUAUUAAAUUAUGAUAUAAUAAUAACAAUAGUAAGUAUUAUCAUAAUAUUAGUAUAAUAUAAUAUAUUAUACUAUAUUAUCAUAUUGUAAUGUAACAUAAUAUUGUAUUGUAUAGUAUAAUAAAAUAAAAUAAUACAGUAUGAUAUAAUAUAAUAUAAUAUAAUUAUAUGAUAAUAUAUUACAUUACAUUGUAGAAUAUUACUAUAAUACAAUUUGAUAUACUAAAAUAUCAUAUCAUAUAUUAUAAUAAUAUAAUUUCAUCUAAUAAAACAAUAUAAUAUAACACAGUACAAUUUUUACUAUUACAUAUUAAUAUAUUGUUAUAUAGUAUAGUAUUGUUACAAUGUUAUAUUAUAUUAUAAUAAAUAAUAGUAUAAUUACAUGUUUUACAUCAAUAUAUUAUAAGUAUAAUUAUAAUUAUUAUAUUAUUAUAUGGUACAGUAUUAAUCAGGGUUUGCCAUACCGGGCCGAACCGCCCGGUAUGGGGCGUGCCAAACCAUCCCGACGGGGAACCGAGACGGUUCCGGCAUGCAAAACGGUACAUGCCGUUGCCGGGAAGAAAAAGAGAGGAAGAGAAAGAAAUAGAGAGAGAGAGGGAAGAAGGAAGAAAAAGAAGGAAGGGGAUCCGCCGGAGGGGCCGCUGGAGACCCUCCGGCGGGCAGCCGUGGCCGUCGGGCGGCGGNNNNNNNNNNNNNNNNNNNNGGUUCGGAACGGAACGGAGGCGUGACGUAUCGUACCGCCGGCCGGCCGAUCCGACCACCGGUACCGUUACAGAAAACCUUGGUAUUAAUACAAUAUAUGACCGUGAUAUUAUUAUUUUAGUAUAAAAUUAUAAUAUUAUAUUAAAGUAUUAUUUUCAUAUUAAUAUAAUAUAGUGUAAAGUAUUGAUAUAAUUUGUAUAUCUAUUUUAUCUAAAUAUUAUAAUAAAUAAUGUAAUUAUUUUUAAAUGAUAUAAUUCUACAAAGUUCCAGACUAUUUUGGUCACAUAAAUAGCUUCUUGACAAGCUUCAGAAAGCACUUUUGUGGAGGAGCUCCAAUUGGAACUUUUGCCAAGUAUGGGUUUUUCAACUUUUCAGGUUUUUUACCAAACACCUAUAUAUCGCCCAAAAGUACAUUUUGGACUCCGAAAAGCACUUUUGGCCCCUCCAAAAGCAAUCCCAUACAGGCCUCUAAGAAAUAUACCUACGAGACAAAGCCGUUCCCCCCUAUAACACUUCCAUGAACUAGAAAUACAAUUCCAUGCACAUUUUUACCAUAAUAUAUGUAAUUCAGAACCAUAUGCUUUCUCAUUUAAACUCUGCAAGUCACCUACAAAGGACUCCUAUGAGAACAAUAUUUAAGUUCGCAAGUCACCAAGCUGAUUCAAUGAACACCACCGAUAGUUAUCAAAGAACAAGGCCUCCACAUGGAAUUGUAUCAUCCAAGAUCUCAUAAUGCGCAAAACUAAGUCCAUUAUCUCAUAAUAGCCUGCAACAGCCUCGGCCCUCCUACAUUGUUAAGGGUUUAAAAUACCAUUGUCGCAACUCAAAUAACAAUAUACAACCCUAAUACUCUAACAUAACACAUAGCUCCAGUUUGAAAGAGUACAUUCUGAAUCAAAAGAAUGGGGGAUGUCAUUCAGUGACUUAAGGCCUACCAUUUGGAUAAGGUCCUUAGAUCACAUGUCCUCGCAGCUUUUAAGGAAUCAAUUUAACAUAGUCCAGCUCCUAUCUCAUAUUCAACUGGAAAGCAGAAGUGAAAAAGAUUGCCUACUUUCCAGGCAUAUCCUAGUUUCUUGAAGUAAAUCACUUUUCCCAAUCCUUAUUCAUGAUCUUGGUAACAGACGUGAAAACUACCAGACACUUAAAAUUGUAGGUUAACCAAAAUAUUAAUUCUUAGAAACGUCACAUAUAGUGACUCAAGUUUAUGCAGUUCCAAAGGGAUUUGCAUUAAUAUCAUGAAGCACCAGGGAAUCUUCUAACAGGACAUUCUUAUAUUUCGGGGGGAAAAGGAACCAUGACUAAAGUUUAAGAAUUGGUCCUACCAUCUAUCACUUCCACAUUAGCAGAAACAUUCUGAAAUAGAAAAACUUGCGGAACAGUCUAUCACUCUGUCUCAAGUUCAAUUCUGGAUUCUAAUCCCAAUUUCAAUAUUAAAAUUAUAGCCAGAACUCAGCAGUAUGUCCCCACCUAUAUAUAUUAUAUUAAAGUUGCAUCACACUACAGGUGCUGCCAUUUUUAACAACUGCUUCACCAUGGCAAAGAAAUGAGGUCUAUGAAAGAUGAUACUGACAUCACCUUACAUCAAAUGUAUACACAUAGAAACAUAUACAAACAAACUAAGGAGGCUCCAGUGCUAUCACAGAAAUGUGGAAAUUUGACAUAGGGAAAUGACUGGCAAAACUUAAAGCAUAUUCUUUUUCUUAAAGUACUUAACCAACAUGUUGAUUUCCUUAAAUACAACAAAGAAUUAGAAUUAAAAACCUUGAGCUUAUUUAUUUAAUUAUGUCAUGAUAUCUCUGCAUCAUACACAUGGCACUACCCUCAUCAUUUCCUGAUUACCAUCUUUUUACAUGAAAAUAAUGGGCAAGGAACUUGCUCUGUGGCACUUACAGGGUACAGCAUAAUGUGAAAGUAAUCAUAACCUAACCAACAAGCCUUAUCCCAUGUACUUUCAACAACCUACCAAAUUACUUUCUCUGAUACUCCUUCCUAUUAAGUACAUCUCAUGUAAAUGAGAUUACCAUUAAGCUUUGUUGAAUUCUUUACCAAAACUGCUGUCAGGUUUCUUGGUUAUUUCACUCCACUUACUCCAGUUGCAUGGAAAUUAAAAUACGAAUAAAAUUAUGAGUUGUAUAAAAUAUAUUUGACAUGUAAUGGAAUAAAGAUUUUUAAAUAUUCGACACCGCGGUUUUCCAUGGUUCAAGCCCCAAGAAGGCUGGACAGUGGAAAGCUAUUUUAUCAGUCCAGGGCUAUUAAAGUCAAAUAAACCCAGCCAUUUUGGAGCCUAAUUUCAGCAGAUGCUGGAUCCUAUUUGUAAGCCAGAUUGAAUUUUGGAUGGCACAUUUAAUGUCUUCUCCUACCCAACGUCUCUUAAUUAAUUAGGUACUUGGUGGGGAUGUAGAAUUUAUUUCUCUUGGCGUCUUGUUUAGCUAUAGGAAGUUGGUUCUAGUAAAUGCAUGGAUUUGAAGAAUUGCCAUCUAGGCUUAUACAAAAUCUAGACAUGCAUGAAAUUGCAGCUCCAGGUCUGAUGAUUUGAAUGCAAAUAUAGCCUUUCACUUCGUAGGAAAGACCCUCAUUGUCUUCUUGUUCCCAUCCCCUUGGCAGAUUCCUUGUGGGAAAAGAGUGUUUAUCGAGGUUUCACUUGUGCUACCUCCUUACCUCCAACUCCGUAUUCAAUUCCCACAGUUCCAACAUCAAUAUUUUCGUUUCAAAUACAUACAAUAUAUAUUACUUUAUUUGUUUUCUCAUCCUAUACUUUUGGAGUUAUAAAAUGUCAUAUAUUCUACUUUAUGGACUUCAAAGGGUUCAACAAAUUGACAAGCUCUGGUUUCAAGUUUCUUUAAUGGAUUAAAGUCUCUGUUUAACACUGCAACUUUUCCUAAUUCUUUGAUAUGCACACAAACACAUAUCUGAACCACCUCUUUCGGAAGUCCUCUAGUCAUCGUGCUCCUGUCUAGUAAUCACACCAACACAUUAAGGAUAUCAUAAGAAAAUAGACACCAUGUGAGAAAUGGGAGGUCUGGAUGCCACUUGAAGGUUGAAGCAAAUUUAGCUGUUUGAGAAAAGAAUGUUAUGUUCUUCUAAGACAUAAAAAUCCAUCAUCAGAACAACCAGGACCAACAAAUUAAACUUUAAACAAAAGAUUGUCAAAAUUCAGGAUAUUCCAUUCAAUCGAUGAACUGAAUGCAGCUGUUUGCUAAGAGAAACUAGUAGACCAUUAUAUUCAACAGGAUAAAUAUAGCGAUCAAAGCAAGAUUCUGGUUUACCAACUGAUCAAUACUUGCCUCCAAAACGGUUUUUCAAUAAAGGUGGGCACCCAGAACUUGACAUGGCUGACAGCUUUUGCAAAUAAUCAGGAUGAGGGCCUUCACAUCCUUUUGGCAUGUCAAGUGGAGGUUUCCCAUGGCCAUGUUUCUGAGACUUGUGAGAUGCUUUCGACACUUGAUUGCUGUCCCGGUCAUUGUCACUUCCAUCCUGUAAGUUAAUGGUUUAGUGAUUUCAGACAACAAAAAGGAAUCAGGCCUUUCUGACCAUCCUCUAACAUGACCAAAAGUAGACUGAAGAAAGUGAAGAAAAACUAGGAAUACAAUCACAAGAAUGUCAUUUUCCCUAUACUAGAAUAACUUCCAAAUUAGUUAAAGAAUAUGCUUAUUUAGAAGGUGAGAAAUUAGACUGAUAUCACUAACACAAUGAGAUGUAGUUUCUUGAUAAAUAAUUAUUAUUUAUCAAAUAAAUGAAACAAAUAUGUCACUUAUGUACAAAUAUAUAGCUGAACAUCAUGCAACACUUCCUAAAUAGAAUUGUAUGAUAUAGAUGCAAGGAAUAUUAUAGAUUAUCAUAAGGCAACAACUUAUGGAUCAAGGUUUUAAAUCCCAUGGAACAAAGGUGUCUCGGUUUCUUCAUGCAACGGGUUGCCUCGCUGUCCCAUCCGUCCUAACAAAUUUUCCGAUCAUACAUCCUGGUGAAUAUCCUUCAUCUUUCUCUCUUUCUUCUUUCCUUUCUUUUUUUUUUUCUCUUUCUUUCUUCUUUCCUUUCUUUUCCUCCACCUUUCUUUCUUUACUUUCUUUUUUCUUUCUUUUUCAUCUCCCUUUCCUUUUUUCAUUUUUCUUCUUCUUUCCCUUCAUUUUUUCCUUUUCUUUAUCUUUCCUCUUUCUUCUUUACUCCCUACAUGAAUGGAUUUCGAAGUUCCGAGCCUAUCUCAAUCCCGUUUUCUCUAAAAAUGGGAUGGAACAGCCAGGACGCCCCCUAUCCCGCUGGAACGUAAAACUUUGUUAUGGAUAUCCUUAUUCCUUGUACACACAUGAAUGCACAUACAAACAAGCACACACACACACAUGUGUGAGUGCAUGUGACACAGCAUUUGUAAGGGAGCAUUCAUUUCACCAACGUAUAUGGUUCCGGUAUACCCUAUUUGUAGUAUGACCUUAUAAGACCAUACACAUGUGUACAUGCAUUCAUCUCAAACAAUAAUAAAGAUCUUUUCUUUGAGAAAAAAGAUAUUUAAUCAUAUCCCCAAUCCAAAAUCAGAACCCAAGGCCUUUCCUAUAUUGCAUCAGUGACCAAAGAACAGUCAUCAGUUCUCUGAUUAGAAUUCUUUGCAGUUAUCUAUGUAUCUAAUUCCAAAUCAUUUACUAUUGUUUUUUUCAAAUUGGUUCCUAGUUAUGGCAAAUGAGCUAAUGAUAACUGGUCCUCUCCUACUAUCAACUUCACUAGCCUAUCACCCAAUUUUUAUUACGGCGUUAUUAUUUAUUUAUUCACCCAUUAUUGAUCCAAAUUAAUUAAUAAUGUCAUAUGUUUGAAUUUAACAAUGAACAAAACAGUGAAGUGGAAUUCAUGAAGCCAAACUCAUUGUUAUGGUAAGACUUGUUGGCUAUAGAUAUGGUUAUGCUUAAUCAAGGUUCGUGGACUCAGGACCGAAAUCCAUACUGGUUGUCGGUCGAUAUAGUACGGUACUAUAUCAUAUCUGACUGUACCGUAUCAUGUCAAUAAUAAAAAAAAUCAAAAAAAAUUCCCACCCACUGGCACUAUAAAAAAAAGAAAUCGGACCAAACCAGACCGAACCGGCCCCGAACCGGACCAAACCGUCUGGUAUCGGAUGGUUCGGGCCGAUACCGUACCGAACCGACUUGUUUAAUCCGAUUCAGCUCAUUUUCUGAAAAUCCAGCCUAAAUCAGACCGGCUCUCGACUAGCACGGUUCAGUACAAGGUGUACCGGCUCAUUCGGGCCGAUACAGAAUACCAUGUGCUUAACAAAUUCAUAUUUAACCAAUGCCCACACAUAUUCAUAAAUUAUAUUUUAUUUAUUUCUUGUUUGCUCACCCAUUUUUUGGAUCACCAUCAUCUUCCAAUUAUCUAAGCUAACCUCAGUAUCUCUUUGGUACUACACCUAUUUCAUUUGUGAAUAUGAAAUUUAGUACAUAAUUACUUCCAAGUAAUGUUCACCAUCUCGAAACCGAACUUGUAUCAGUAGCAUCUUAUUACAAUGUCGGUAUGUGAUUCGGUAUGAUAUGAGGCAACAUACGAAUGUUGGUAAGAUAUGAGACACCAUAUCAAUUUGUUACUGAUACGAUACGUUACAGCCCAUAUGAGGGGGUAUAGCAAACCAUGCUUCCAAGUGUAAGCUUCUAGGUAUUACCAUGUUGGAUUCAUCAAGACACCCGUACCCUUGACAAACAUCACCUGUCUAGCUUCCACUGCUUCAACAAUGGUAGUAACUCAAAAGUUAUAUUAGUGAAUAAGGAUGUAUGUUGUCUUAAUUUUGAUAACCAAGCAUAGAAUUUAGAGUCUUUAGGAGAAAAUAAACACAAACUAUCCCUAACGAAAGCUCUUCUCCUUUAGGCAAUAUCUAAAAAUAAAGUCUCAAUAUUCCAGCAUGUUGCAAUCUUUUUCUGUCCGUAAGGAUCCCACCAGAGCACUUUCUACUUCUAAUAGGCCAUGAACUAGAUCAGAAUCAUUCUCAACGAAUCCAUAAGAAGUGAUCCAAGUUUUUUCAUCGGAUCCGGGUGAAGACCAAAGAUUUUGAGCUACCGAUCCGACAGAACAACUCGAAAGAUAAAAAAGUAUCAUUAAUUUCUUCAUGCUCGUUCCAAGUUCGAAGUACCAUUUGUACAAAUAAGAAUGCCCUUCCUUACAUGAUUUCUUCUUCAUAUAGAUAGAUAUAGGAUCUAUAGGACAAUUACUUAGAAGUACAUUUUGUGCAACAGCCCUUCCUAUCUGAUAGAAAAGGAUCCCUGAUCCUGAUCCUAUCUUACCUAGGAUCGCAAAUCCCAAGUUUAUCUAUGAAGAGCUGAUCUAAUUGUAUUAGUUUUUAUAAUUGAUUUCUUCUGUGUAAUACUAAUUGAUAGGGCCUCAUUGAUAAGUACUACAAGAUCUCGUGCAUUGGAACCCAUGGUUAUGGACCCGAAUACGUAAAACAAAAUAAUUUUUAGAAAGGCCAUAAAGAGGAAAAAAAUGAUGUAGAAUAUAUUCACACGAUACCAACUAUAGAGGUUUGGAUAUCAUAGCGAGUCACCAGAGCACCAAGAAAUUAAGCUAGUAAAGAAUUCUUCUCUCAUAACAUACAAAGGCGACUGUACAAAAGAUUCUAUGCAAUAAGCAAGCAAAAAAUAGAAGUUGCAUGUAUGAAACUCAUGUACAAACUCUACAACAACAUUUCCCAAACUAACCUGAGUUGGGCAUUUUGGCCUGUAACAAACCAACAAAAAGUUGGGAAAGUUUGGUUCAUCGGUUCGGUUCGAUUUAUAAAUCCCCUCUCCCCUCCCGCUUCAAUGGUUCUAGAGCUUUCAUGGGCUCUCCACAAUCUCGCUUGCUUGCUUUAUUUCUUCACUCAAAUGCUCACUCACUCACUCUCCCUCUCCUCCUCAGUCCUCCCCCUCCCCCUUCAAUGCAGCGAUGCCAACUAACACUAUCACCCUCGAGGUAAGCCUCCCCCGUCCCCCUCCCUCCUCCCUCUCCCCCCUCCUCUCUGUAAGCCCCCCUUCUCUCUCCCCCUCCCUCCCUCCUCACUCUCUCUCUUCCUCCCUCUCCCUGCCCAUGCUUUGGUAUGCCCCAACUUGAUAUGAUAUAUACCACAACAGUAUCGAACCCAGGUGCUGGCUGAUACAAGCAUUGGUACCAGUCUGGCAAACCUUGCUCGGCAACAUAAAAUCUACAUACGAAACUAUUCAAAGAAUGGAUGAAUAUACAGAUGAUUAGGGCAGAAAGUCCAGAUUGGAUAAUAUACAUCCAUAUCUAUUUCCAUCUCAAAAUAUAUCCUGAUACAAAUGCAAGUUAAGACCAUUUAAUUAAUAUCUGUAGUCCUUAUCUAUGCCUGCUAAAUCAAAUCAGGUAUGGAUCCGGAUGUGAAUAUAUACACACAUAUCCUAUCUACACUUUAUCUGCUAUCUGCUCUACUUCUUAAUCUCAUAUGAACCUCAUAAACUCCAGAAUGGGUUCAAUAUGUGGCAGCAUCAGAAUUCUUCAAUUAAAUUUCCAUGCAGUGACAUCUUUAACUUGGUGGUUGCAUCCUUGAACUACUAAUAGUGAGUAUCUUGCUGAAGUCAUUAUGAUCUACCGGAAGGAUCAUGGGAUUGGGUGGAUGCACUUAGCUCACAGAGUUACUAGCAAAUAUGUCACCAUUAAGUUGAACCAUUCUACUAUGGUGAAGGUUCCUGACAAGCAAUAUACACCAAGCCAUCAAUCACCCAACUAAGAGAACUUUAAAAGGCUCAUAAGACUUCGCAUUUUUACAUUCUCCAAAUCUCAAUGUGGUCAUGGAAAAUGCACUGAAAACAGGUCCAUCAUAUAGCAUUUACCAUUUGACAAGAACAGGUACACUGGCAUACAUAGUUUAUAUUUUUGUUUAAUUAGUCAAAAGAAGAUUUUGAGCUACUCUUCUUCUAAGUGAAAGAUAACAAUAACAAUUUGCUUGUUAAAUAUAAUAUAAAAUAUAAGUUAGCAAAGGCAUCAUAGGCAUUAUAGCAAAAUAGCAGAAAUAAGAGGUGAGUUUUGAUUCUCACCAGAAUGUUGUAAUGGUCAGACAUCAUUGCAACUAAUCCAGCUGCAGUAGCUGUGCCUUCUGGAAGAGACAGGUAUGCCUGAAAUUGCACAGUUAUGUUUAGAUUAUCAAAUUCAAAGAAAAAAUCUGUGCUUACUACAGGUUCAUAUUACGUGAAGCCCACACACAAUGCAAAAGAUGAUAACAUAAGCAAUAUAUGACACAGUUCUAGACAAGCAGUUCCAACCAGCUGCAGCAGGACUGGCCAAACUGCAUCCAUCAAUCAACAGAUCAUCUCACCAGCCAGUAACAACCCAAAACACAUCAUAACCAGACAUGCAUAUUUUUCAGGUCUUAAUCAUCAAAAAUAUCCAUGACUAAAAAAAUUCUUCUCGAGCAAUUAACCUUCUAAAUUGGAAAUUUUGGGUUGUUGGCACCAUCAAGAUAAUGAACUGGAUCUGGCUGACUGAUUACCACUUUGACAAAAUCAUUUUAGGGAAGAUUAUGGAUUUUGACAACAUCCAUCUAUAUUAAAUCAGCAUAAUUGCCACAUUGAUAAUGGAGAGUAGUGCACCUUGAAGCAAGUGCAUGAAACAGGCACUCCAACAUGCGCAUGGUGCAGGAGACUGGCAGGAAUUUUUAAAUUUUAGACAGGCAAAAUGCAUGGAAAAAUAUUUUCAGAAGUUUCUUAGUUGUCUUUCUUAAAGAGACCAUUUUCACUCAUUUCCAAGAAUUUCCUUUCUCCUAUAAUCCCCUUGUGGAAGGAAACCAUAUAACAUAACCAUACUAUAACCAUCCAGCCUUUUUCCCAACUACUUGGGGUCAGCUUUAUGGAUCCUUGUUCACCAAGUAAAAAAUUUAGUGGUGAAAAAAUGAUACCAUAGGAUCACCAAAACCAUAAGGUCAAACAGAAAAUUGUGUUCUCAAAUCUCAAUGACUGGAUUAUCUUGUGGCCCUUAAUGUAGAAUAAAAACAUUGCAUCAACUGCAUCAGAGUCAUGAGAAUUUCAAGAUGAUAAGAAUAAUCGCAAUUCUGCCAAUUUGAGGCGGACUAACAAGAACCAUGCCUCAAUUCAAAUAAGAAAUGCCUAUGAUAGGAAAGAGCAUAGAAGGCUGAUACAUUACAAAGAAAAGUGGCAAACUAAUAGGCUUAAUUUGAACCAAGUUACUACAGAACAGGAUAAGAGAAAUAUUAGCAACCAUUACAUACUUAUAUGAAACAACAUGAACAAUCAUGAGACAUGAUUUUGGAAUACACUAUUACCCUAAGCGAUCAACAAUAGAUAUGCUAGUAAAAGCUACAUUAAAGCUAAAAUCAGAGGAUCAGACAUUAAGGAACCUUAACCAUAUCUUCCACCAUAAUGCAAAUGCAAUGCUUAUAUAACAUUAAUUUCAUCAGAUUAACUAAAGAAGUGCCUGGAGAAUUUAAAGGUAGUUGACAAAAACAUAAACUAUUUAGGUGUCAAUAGGUGAGAUCCAGACUUAACCACAACAAUUUUUUUUUUAAAAAAAAAGACCAAGGAAAAGAAUUCACAUAGUUCCUGCUUCAAGGAACAGCUACCAGGAAAAUAGUGAAAGGACUUUGAAAUGUGCUUAAAAAAUAUAUAAGAGGAUGCUAAUAGUAGACAAAAGGGGAAUCUGCAAACAAAAAAAGAUGAGAUCAGCAGUAGACCAUAUAAUGUAUCAAACAAUAGAAAACCAUAUAAUUUAGUAUUUAUGUGUGUUUAAUGAUGUGUAGAUUAUACUCCAAAAAGAAUGAAUGGAAGUGCACUGACUCAGAAGUUAGAUAAAAAAUCCACAUAGGAUGGGAAGGCUUACCGUAUAGGACUAAUAGUAAACAUAAAUAAUAGGGAAAAAAACAUCUCUUAUAUUACAUACCUAGCUCAAAAUCUAAUCUAAAGCUGCACGGUGUUACAUAAUGCUCAGACAAACAAAAUGUGCUAUUUGAAAGAGUUGAGAGAGGUUGGUGACAAUGUAUGCAACCCUUAAUAGGUAUAAAUGGAGAAGAAUGGAAAAGGGAGUUUCUUUUUUGGGGGUGUAUAUAUGUUAGCUUAUGCAAAUUCAAAUCUCAUUGGUUCAAAAUACAUGACAAGCCAUCCACUACAAAAAGAAAAAAAUGCUGAUCACAAUCCACAAAACACAAAAUACAUAAAAAUCCAGACUCUAAAGUUCUGGAUGAUUCUUGCCCAAACAUCUAGUAAAUAAGAAUUGGACGGUAACAAAAGAUAAGGGCAUCAGCUUGAUGGUGGCCAUAUUAAAUCAGUAAUUAACAUGCCUGAUCAUGAUGUAUACAGAAAGAAACACAUAUAUAACAAAAAUUUCAGCAGACAUAAGUAUUUUCAGACCAUAUACUAUAUCAAAAACCUUUUAACAGGAUUGUUAUCCAUGACCACUCAAGAGGGAAAGAAACCUCAAAUUUUGACUUCCAGCUACAGGCAUUCAGAUAUUAUAUCUCAUGAUUAUCAAUGUCAAUUUUAAAUUUAAGUGACUUAUUAUGUAUUUGUCAGCGAAGAAACCUCCAAAUUGUUUGAUUUUUGGCUUCUCAAUUUCUUGGAAUUGUAAAUCAUAAUAGCCAUAUAUUCAAAUUUAGGUGGAUGGCAUGUACUCCGCUGAAUUUAUAACAAGAGAUAACAUGAGACAUUAAGGUGUGAAAACAUUUUGCAGCCAGACAGAGCCCUUGUUAAAUUAGUAUUAAAAUCCAAUCAAGGCAGAUUUAGCCAAGACAGGGACCUAUCAUGAAGCCAACUGCUAAGGAUAGAAGACAAGCUCCUAUGACAGCAGCAUCAAUGCAAGUGUUGACUAGUUGCAUGUGCUUGUGUGUGUGUGUGUGUGUGUUUCAGUGUGGUUUUAAAUUUGUGUGAUGCCUUCCAUAUUUUUUGUUUUCUUUUCAAAGUGCGAGUUGAAAUGCUUGCAAAGAACUCAAGGUUCAUAAUAUAUAAAAAACAAAAAAAGUUUUGCACAGGCAAUUCAUCAUCACCAGAAGCAAAUAGAAUGGGAGGCUUUAAACCCAGGAGAACUAUACAUGAUGCAAUCAAAAUUCAGCAGGCAUGCUUACCCUAUUCAUAUUAUAAAGGGCCUCCACCAUAUCAAUGGAUCUGUUACGUAUAACUGCAGCCACCUGUAAAUCCAAAUAAAUAAAAGCAUGAGAAAUAAUUGAGAGCCAACAAAAGCAACCUCAUACCAUAGAAGGAUUACAGGAGGGAGAGAGAAAAAAAAGGGGGCAACUGUCUACCUUCAUUAAAGAGUAAAAAUGUCUUAAAACGUUGCAAAUCCACACAAACACUUGCAAGCACAAGCAUGUAAUCAGAAUAUUCUAUUAAAAAUUAUCUUUUGACUUAGCCCGGUAUAUCCUAUUUUAGUCUAACAUCAAAACAAGAUUGGGUAAAAUGGUUUACUUUUUUCCAAUCUUUUCCAUAUGUGCGAUAUGCUUCAUAAAAGCGUUUCAAAUCUUCCUUGCUCCAUCGAGAACCCAGCACAUCUGACGAUUUCCUCUUCUGCACAAAUAAGCUCUGUGUCAUAGGUCCAGAAAAUGACAUGAGGCAUGCUGCACUAGUACACGUGUACAAUUGCAUGAUGCAGGAAAAACCUGCAAUUCAUAUCCAACAAUUUGAAGCAUGUCAAAAUUUUGAAACAGGGGCACCUGCGGCUUAUCUCCAACACAGUUGCACAGAUGGAUGGUGUUAGUGGGGAUGAUUUACAUAAACUAGCAAAUGAAAAUAGCCUCAUUUGCAUCAAUUAGUGCAAAUGUGAUAGCAGUUAACAUCCUUCUCAAAAAUUAACAAAAAGAAAAAAAAUGUCGCAGAAGGCUAUACACAAUCUAACCUCAGAAACUUUAGAAGUAGAUGACCGAAGAAGUAAUACCUUCAACCCUUUUCAUUCUUAAAAUAACCAAGUACAAGCCAAUAAACUACUCUAUGUAGAAAGGUCAGUUCAACCAAAGCAGUUGAGAGAAAUUGUCUUUCCAGCAAAAUAGCCACAUAAUGUAUAGCAGCAGUUCAAACCAAGAGCAUGACAUACCAUACAAAGAAAAGACACAGACACAGGCAUUUCAAAUGUACACAGCAUGAUGCAGAAAAGAAUUGAGAAAACACUAAGUUCUUACCACAAAAAAUAAGGUUCAUCUAUCUUAAUCAACUUCUAGUUUUUUUUUUUCUUUUUUUUUUUUUGCUUCAUCUGAAAGAAUCUAGGACAUACUAUAUUUCUGUCUUGCUUGUGUAAUAGCAGUUGAUUAAAUUUACAUGUUUAUAAGUCUCUUUAGGCAGCUCAUUUUAUUAUUCCCUACAUUACAAACACAUGCAAUUAAUCAGAACCCAUUAUCCCAUGCAAUACAAAUGUUGUACCGCAGAAAAAGAUGUCAUGGUUUCUAUUUAUUGCAUACAAGCAGACUGUGAAAAAUAACAUCUGCAACAUUGCAGGGUUUAAAAAUGAUAGGGCAUUGGCCUUCAAUAAUGUGAUAUAGUCUGAAAUGUUCAUUCUUGAAAAUGAGAAUUAAAGUUUUUUUUUUUUUUUUUUUUUUUGAAUUAUCAUCAUCAUGGUCCCCAUAAAAUGAUCCUUCUACCUCGUUCUUUGCAUGCAUGUGUUACCUUGACGUGGGUCAACAAGUAUUUAACUAGAUACAGAACGGCCAAUAAAAAAACAUGGAAAAGAUUAAUAAUAUCUCACCAAUCUAACAAGAUAAAGGAUAAUAAUAGAUGUUCUUUCCUUUUAUUUAAUAAAUAAUAACAAAAUCGAAAGCUGAAUCCACCUGACAUCAUGCAAUUCUUUAAAAUUGAUAGAUUUAUUCAAUAAAAUAAACUGAUUAAUUUGAAUGGUUAGUUUGAUUAAGGUGGGUCAUAUACUCAUAUCAAAUGUAUAAAAUUAAAGAGAAGAAACAAUAUGCAAAUACUCUAACAUCCAGUUUGUUAGGCUAGCAAGACUACUGCCAAACCGAAGGAUCAAAUAAUUGUACAUCUUCCCUACAUAGAAGUGGAACGCUUCAAUCUAUAUGAAACAAAGGAAACCUCCGGCACAAAUUUUACAAAGUAAAAUUGCAUUGAUUUUUUUAACAAAUAUACAAUGCUUAUUUUUCAAC
RNAcentral lists this long non-coding RNA (59316 nucleotides) under Elaeis guineensis (African oil palm). RNAcentral describes it as "long non-coding RNA (EGUI_LNC006432)". The record is from RNAcentral. Lineage: Eukaryota; Viridiplantae; Streptophyta; Magnoliopsida; Arecales; Arecaceae.